Molecule: long non-coding RNA, 79759 nt
Filed under: Gossypium raimondii (Peruvian cotton)
Lineage: Eukaryota; Viridiplantae; Streptophyta; Magnoliopsida; Malvales; Malvaceae
Description: long non-coding RNA (GRAI_LNC009584)
Rfam family: MIR7502 microRNA precursor family (bases 63771-63913)
Source: RNAcentral
AUGUAAAGAGGCCAUUUCAAGCCAAGACAAGGUAGGAAGAAAGUUGAUCAUAAUUGACAUGGUUGUGAGGGAGAAUGAGCAAGUGAAUGAUGAAGCCUCAAGCUUAACUAAAACACAACUCUUUUUCGACAUGUUGAUGUUGGUAUUGGUGGCUGGAAAAGAGAGGCGGGAAGAAGAAUGGGCUAAACUAUUUUUAGCAGCUGGUUUUAGUUCUUUCAAAAUUACUCCUAUUGUGGGUUUGACAUCUCUCAUUGAGGUUUACCCCUGAGAGCAUUUGGUUAUUGCAUUAUUAGUAUAAUAAUGUCGAGAAAUACAUUGUUGAAGUGGUAAAAUUGUUCUUUGUUGACAACAUUUACUAGAGUUGUUUGCUGGGAUUUUAACUGUGUUGCCUAUUCCUAUUGUGUUGUUGUCAUGGUCCUACUCUUAUAGACCUUUCCUGUUGUUAUUACUCUUAAGGUUUGUACUUGUUGUUUUGUCCGUAAUUUGUUUUACUUCAGUCUACGCACAUAUAAUUCUAAUUUUAAUAGUUUAGUGGUCUUGUUGUUGAUUGUUGAUCAGAGCAGCGCAACGGAAUCAUGAUAAAUAGUUCAUGAUUAAUUGUGUGGUGUGAUUGCUCGGUUACUGUGUUUUGUAGUGGUUUUAAAUGGAUAGUCAUUUUGGUGACUAAUGUGACGUUUGAAAUUUGGGUCGGAUCGUUCUGGCCGGGUUUGAGGCGCCACAUCAGAGCCCUAUUUUAAGAUGUUACAAAUAUGUUUGUCAAAGCAGCUAUGAAAGAAAUAUAUCUCACUUGCCAUUGUAAAAUGUAAAUCAAAAUAUCCACUUGUCAUUGCCACUUGUCAAGACAUUUGCUGCAAACAAAAAAAUUAUAGGAUUAAAUUUUAAAUUUCAAAAGAUUACAUGAACCUUUUUCAUAUUUAAAUCAAAAGCAAAUAACGUAAUCAUUAAUCCAUACUUUCAUUUUUUGCUUUUGUUUCUUAAUCAUCAAAAACCAUGAUUAUUUAAACCAGAUUAGAUCGACUGAUUAGACUAAGAAUCAACUAGUGCAUCGAUCCAAAAAUUGAUUAUUAGACCACCAACUAUGAACUAAAUAAAUUGAUAAAAGAAAAUCGAUCCAACCGAUUUUUAUGGUUUUGAGACCAAAUUUCAUCUAUCCCAAAUUGAGCAAAAAGAAAACCAACUACCCCUACCCCUAAAAAAUUAACACCCAGCCUCAAAAUCAAUAUAAAUUUUUUUAAAAAGAACCCCUAAUCUAGUUAUUGUAUUACUAAAACCUAUUAUAAGCACGGUGUGAAAUAGAUAAACUGGACAGCUAGAAGCUUUCUACAUAUUUUUUAGAGUGGUUUAAAAGAAAUAAGAAAAAUAAAAAGAAGAUGAUGAGAGAAAACACAAUAUUCUUUAUAGUUUUAGAUUUUGAAAGAUUUUAAAAAAUAAUUAAGUAAUAAAGCUCUUGACUUCAUCAUUGGUAAAAAGAGUCAUUAAAUUUUGGAAUGACAAAAAGUGUAAAGUAUAUUAUUGACAAAACGUAUAUAUUAUAGAUAUUUAUAUAUUUUUUAUUUUUUAGCGACAAAUCUCAAAAAGUAUACGUGAACUAUGGUUUAAUGUGCAAUUGUAUAAAUUGUCAGAUGAUUACAUCAUCAUUAUCACCUACAAAAAGAGCAAAUUGAUCUUUUCUGUUAAAAAUUUCAUCCAUUUAUACGGUUAAAAAUUGGUGGUUGACGGAAUAACCGAAUAGUGACAUAUGAUGUGCCAUGUGUACUGUACAAGCCCAUUUUUGCCUAAGCCCAGAUAAAUAAAACCCCCAAAAACAAAAAAAAUUAAAAAAUUAACAAUCCAAGAAAUUUAACCCAAAACACCCUAGCCCAAUUGAAGCCCAAACUUAAACCCAAAAUACCAGCCCAUUACAACCCAAAACCCACUAACCCAAUAGUCAAACUAGGGUUUCAGUUUUCUGAAACCCUAGCCGCCGCAACCUAUCCCUAGCCUCAGCUAUCAACUCCUCUAACAACCGCUGCCAUCGCCGCUUCUUCCUGCGGUGCUAACCAUGCCCUGCAAAGAAGAACAAGCACGCAAGAGAAACAUGAGAAAAUAGAUUAAAAAAAAAAGUGUUGUAAAUGGCUAUAAAAGCCAUCUAAAACCGAUUAUAAAGGGGGGUUCAGUUUUUCUUUUUUUUUUCGAACAUUUCAGAAAAUAAAAAAAGACACAAAGAAUAAAAAGAAACACAGCAAUCUCAAGGUGAUUGUUUGAUUUUAGAACAAGAUCCAUAUUUUGAUAGUGUAUCCCUAUUUUUUAUUUUUUAAAUUCUUUUUAUAUACGGUAAAUAUAAAAAGAAGAAAAGGGGAAACUCACCGGGGUAGGGCUUUGAAUGCCCGUUCUUGCACUUCAUCGGCCGUCGGAUACGGUGGCAGUGCGGCGAGCAGAGAGGUUGCACAACGGAGGCCGAGGGGAUUGAGAGCCGGAUGUUGAGAGAAAAAGGGGAGGGGUUUUGAAUUUUUUUUUUUAAAUGGUGGCUGUACUGAUUUUCAAAAUUUUUUUACUUAAAUACACUAAAUAAAACGGCGCCGUUUUGCAACUAGGGGUCAGGUGCCAAAACAACGUCGUUUUGGUCCUGACCCGCGACCUGACCCGUCCGCCCUCAGGAUUCGCGUGUUCCUGCGGUGAAGGGGGAUAUUUGCGCACUAGGUCCCUCCUCUUUUGCGCCCUAGUGCAAUUUGGUCCCGUUUUGUUUUUUAAUUCGGCCGCAUAAUUUCUCGUAUGUUUCACUUCAGUCCGCGCCAAAAUGUUGCACAUAGAGCCUGGGAUAUUUUCCAAAUCAGCCCUCCGUUCUUUGAGCGCAUUAUAUUUUGGUCCCCGAGUACCCAUUUUUUGUUUAUUUGCAUUUUAAACCCCGAAUUUCGUUUUCAAAAUUCGAUUUAGCCUGUUUGUUGUAUUAUUUUGGUUAUUUUAUUAAUAAUAAAUUAGAUAUUAUUAUGAUUAUUACUAUAAUUUGUUAUUGUUAUUAUAUUAUUAUUUAUGUUUACUUAUUUAAAUAUCAAAUAUAUGUGUCUUCUUAUAUUAGUAUUAUUAUUUGUUAUUUAUGUCCCUUUUUUAGUUUUAUUUUUUAUUUAUUUCAAGUUUUGUUAUAUAUGUGUAUAUAUACAUUUCUAUAAUAUAUAUGUCUAUAUGUCUAUAUUCUUUUAUUUUAUAACUCAUAUAUAUAUACAUACAUAUAUAUAUUUUUAUAAUUCUACAUAUAUAUAUUUUUAUCUAUUUUCUUUAUUGUUAUUAUUGUUUUACUUGAUGUUCAUUUAUUUAUUUGUUUAUAUGUCCAAUGUUCUCUUUUUAAAAAAAUGUUUAGUUUUUAUUUGUUUAUUUACUUGUUUGGUAUAUACAUAAUUAAUUUGUUUUAUUUUUUUUUGCUCGUAUUAUUUUUACUUACAUUAUCAUAAUUAUUAUUCCGUCAUAUAUAAUUUUUACCCAAAUUCGUAAAAAAGAGAAAAUUUUGAAAAUAAAGACAAUACUCGAUAUUUGGAAUCUUCGAGAGGAUUGAGCCCUAACGCAUUGGGUUCCAAUUUUCUUCGUUAAAUCUAAAUAAUCAAGAAUGCUCUUUAAUAAAAAAAUAUAAAUAAAAGCUCAUUAUCGGGAAUUCAAUACUUUGUGUCCUAACGCAUUGGAUAUGACACGUUGUUUUCUCGGGAAUAAAAAAAAUAAAAGCAUUCCCUAAUGUGUAGGGUUACAAUUUUUCGUUUAGCCAAAUAGUCAAAUACCCUCUUAAAGUCUCAAAGUAUAGGUUUUGGAAGCCAUAAGGUGAUCUUGGUUUCGAGAGUUUAAAGUAUCGUAUCCUAAUGCGCUGGAUGUGAUAUUCUUUCGGAACAAGAGAAUCCUAAAUUCCAACCCAUAUCGUUCAAAAUUUUUAGGAUCGUAUUUUUAAAAUUUUUUAAAGUUUUCAAUCUUCGACACUAAAGACACUAAAUAAUCAACUAGGUACCAAUUUUUGGGCGUUACGAGGGUGCUAAUCCUUCCUCGUACGUAAUCGACUCCCGAACCUAUUUUUUCUAAAUUUUGCAGACCAAAAGCACUGUUUUAAUAAAUCUAAACCGUUUAUUAAAAAUAAUCGCUUUACGAGGUGACCCGAUCACACCUCAUUAAAAAAGAUUGGUGGCGACUCACGUUUUCGUUUAUGUUUUUAAAAUCCAAGUCGACCCCUGUUUUAUCAAAAAAAUGGUGUCAACAGCUUGGCGAAUCCACUGGGGAAGCAUAAGAGAGUCAAGCCAUAAAUUGAUUAAUUUUGUCUUUUUUGUCGAAAAUUGAAAUUUUGAUUUUUAACAUAUGAUCCUCUCAUUGCAUUUCAUCUGUUUUGAGUUAUAGUUUUCAUCAUGUUUUGUAUUUUAAUUUUUUUAUAUCUUCACACAUUGCAUUGCAUGGUCGUGGGUCACACCCUUUUAAGUAGGAGUGAGAAGCUACUCCUUCGUGAGGUUUUCACCUCCGUGCAGGAUAGUGGAUCGCUUUCGGGAUACAUUCGUACCUAUGUCUUCGUGAGAUUUUCAUCUCCGUGCAGCCAUAGGGAAAUGUAUUCCCCUAAACUGAACUCGGUCUAUAUGAGCCUAUAAUGGGUGAAGAUCGAGGAAUUUGUAAGUUCAGGUACCCUUUCUUUAGAACCGAGCCGCAUAUAGUGAAUCCUGAGAAUGUACCCUAGGUAAAGACACAUGGCAACUGAUGAGAAGCUGUUCAAGGACCUUGAUAGGAGUUUUACUACAAGAUUAGAAUUGGUAAUGGGAAUCUAAUUGAAGCCAAAGGUAGAGGAGAUGUUGUGAUCAACACUUGGUCAGGUAACAAAGUAAUUUCUGAUGUGUUUUUUGUGCCUGACAUAGAUAAGAAUCUACUUAGUGUUGGUCAGUUAGUGAAAAAAGGGUAUUCACUGGUAUUUAAAAAUGGCUCCUACAUUGUCAAAGACUCACAUGGUUAGGAGUUACUCACAGUAGCAAUGACAGAUAGGUGAUUUAUGCUCGAUGUGAAUCAACUCGAGAAGAAGGCUUACAGAAGUCUUGUUGACAAUGCUGGCCUACGGCACAAAAGACUAGGCUAUAUCAACCAUAGAUCACUUGACUUGUUGCAUAAGUUGAACUUGGUUGAAGAUAUGUACAAGGUUAAAGUCAAAUUCACUGUAUGUGAAGUUUACCAGCUUGGUAAGCAGGCUAGAUUGCCAUUUCUAGGUAAUAAGGCAUGGAGGGCUCGAGACAAACUUAAGUUGGUCUAUUCUAAUAUCUGUAGGCCAAUGAGGACUCCUUCCUUGAAUGGCAACAAGUAUUUUGUGCUAUUUAUUGAUGAUCUGACCAGGUUUUGUUGGGUUUAUUUCUUGAAGCAGAAAUCUGAAGUGUUUGAAGCAAUCAAAAAAUUUAAAGCUUUAGUUGAAAACCAUACUGGCUGUAAGAUUAAGGCUUUGAGAACUGAUAAUAGCACUGAGUACCUAUUUGAAAGGUUUCAGAAAUUGUGUAAACAAGUUGGGAUUCAUCAUCAGCUAACAACAGUCUAUACACCUCAGCAAAAUGGAGUAUAUGAGAGGAAGAAUAGAACUAUGCUUGAUAUGGCCAGAUGUCUAUUAUUUCAGAGCAAGUUGCCAAGCAAAUUUUGGGUUGAGGCAGUCAAUACCUCAGUGUACCUGCUCAACAAGCUGCCAACUCAUGCUGUCAAAGACAAGACUCCUUUUGAAGCUUGGCAUGCACUCAAGCCAACUGUUUCACAUCUGAGAGUGUUUGGUUGUGUCUGUUAUGCCCUCAUUUCAGCUGAGAAGAGAACCAAGCUUGAAAGAAGGGCUGUUCCAAAGAUAUUUGUUGGGUAUAGCAGUACAAAAAAGGGUUACAGGGUAUUUAAUCCUUCAACAAAAAGGAUUUCAGUGAGUAGAGAUAUAAGGUUUGAUGAGGAGAAGGUUUAGAGCUAGAAUGAUGCAGAUGCAAAGUUGAUUAAAGAAAAUCAACUUGACAACAGCCUGGAAUCAGUUGAAAAUGAGCCUAGCAAUGAAGAUUUUGAUGAUGCUCCUAUGAGAGGUACCAGAACUAUUGCUGACAUCUACCAAAGAUGUGAUGUUACAAUAGUGGAACCUUUCAAAUUUUGAAGAAGCUGCCAGGGACAAGUGUUGGAAGAAGGCCAUGGAAGCUGAAUUAGACAUGAUCCACAAGAACGACACUUGGGAAUUGGUUGACAGACCAGAUCAAAAGAAAGUUAUAGGUGUCAAGUGGGUGUUUAGAGCCAAGUACAAUGUUAAUGGCUCAUUAAACAAACACAAAGCAAGGCUUGUGGUGAAAGGCUACAGCCAGCAAUAUGUCAUCGAUUUCAUGGGGACAUUUGCUUUAGUAGUAAGGCUAGACACAAUUAAACUUCUAUUUGCCUUGGCUGCUCAGAAGCAAUGGAUGGUCUACCAGUUAGAUGUUAAGUCAGCAUUUCUGAAUUGUUUCCUCACGGAGGAGAUUUUUAUUGAGCAACCAGAUGUGUUUAAGGUCCUAGAAAAAGAAGGCAAAGUCUACAGGUUAAAAAAGGCACUGUAUGGCCUAAAGCAGGUACCAAGGGCCUGGUAUGACAGGGUUGGCACAUACCUGUCUAGGCUAGGGUUUGAGAAAAGUGUUAGUGAAGCUACACUUUAUGUGGAAAAGUCAGAAAGUGAGACCUUGCUGAUUAUAUCUCUCUAUGUGGAUGACUUACUUGUGACUAGAAGCAAAGAUGAAUUGAUCAGUGAAUUCAAAGUGCAAAUGCAAGAAGUGUUUGAAAUGACAGAUUUGGGAGUCAUGACAUACUUUCUUGGUAUGGAAGUGAACCAAUCUAAUCAAGGCAUUUUCAUUAGCCAACAUGCCUUUGCCUUAAAGAUUCUCAACAGAUUUUGCAUGUUGAAUUGCAAAACAGUCAGCACACCAGUAGCACAAGGAGACAAGCUGAUUAGUAGUGGAAAUCAGAAAAGGGUUGAUGAGAAAGAAUAUCGAAGCCUGGUAGGUUGCUUGCUCUAUUUAAUAGCAAAUAGACCUGAUAUUAUGUUUGGUGUUAGUCUUUUAUCAAGAUUUAUGCACUGCUAUGAUGUGACUCAUUUCAAAGCAGCUAAGAGAAUCCUCAGAUAUGUAAAGGGGACCUUGAACUAUAGAGUUAAGUUUGAGAAGGGAAAGGAGUUUAAGCUAUCAGGAUACUCUGAUAGUGAUUGGGCUGGCUCUGUCGAUGACAUGAAGAGUACCUCUGGUUAUUUCUUUACCCUUGGAUCAGGAGUUUUCUGCUAGAGAUCAAAGAAGCAACAAACUGUUGCUUAGUCCACAGCUGAAGCAGAAUACAUUGCAGCUGCUGCUGCUGUUAAUCAAGCCAUUUGACUUAGGAAGCUCCUGUAUGAUCUUAAUGAUGAACAAGCUGAACCAACUGAAAUCACGGUUGAUAACCAAUCAGCUGUUGCCAUAGAUAAAAAUCCAGUCUUUCAUGGAAAGACUAAACAUUUGAAGAUCAAAUUUCAUUUUGUUCGAAAGGCUGAACAGUUAAAAGAAAUCAAUCUUGUUCAUUGCAGCUCAGAAAUUCAAUUGGCUAAUAUUCUGACUAAGUCAUUAGGAGCUACUAGACUUGAAACUUUAAGAAGCAAAAUUGGUGUUUGUUGCAUACAGUCUAAGGAGGAGUGUUGAGCAUUGGCCUAAACUGCAACAAAAGACCAGCAGCAACUCAGCACAAGACCAGCAGCAGCUCCAGCUGAAGUGCAGCAUUGAAACUGAACCGAAUGCAACAGUUUAUUUUGUUCCUAUGUAACUUUGUUUAGUUUACUUGUAAUUUGUUCACAAAGUUAGUAGGAUUAGUUUAUGAUUUGAAUUGAUGUAAUAGCUGAUAUGUCAGCUUACUUUUGUGUGUAAUUUAAGUUAGUAUUACUCAUGUAUUAGUGGGAGCAAUUAAGUCAUUAGGUAACUAUCCAACUCUUUUGUAACUUUCUUAUAUUUUUCAAAUUUUGAAUGAAAAUCAAGGUGAAUUUUUCAGUUAUCAUUCUUGCAAAGUUUCUUUCUAUUUUUGCUUCGGUUCUUUUUUUUUUCUUUGUCUUUUGUUUUCCUGCCAAAAGUUCCAACAGUUAGCAACAACAUGAGGAAGAUCAAGCGCAAUACACUCCAAGUGUGGAAGCGCAUCAACAAUGGCCUUGCUCAAUGUUCUGGUACCACCUCCAACAUCCACCAAAGAAUUCAAUCCCUCGAACACCUUUUUGCACUUGUCAAUAAGAAUGCUAUUAACCAAUCGAUCAUUGCUAACCAUGCCUUCAUUAAACAAACUAUCUAGCUUUUGGUCAUGUCUGGUAUAGUCCUAGAAUGUCUUUCCGUGUGUGGUAUCAAAUGGAGUAUGAUCAUUAUUUUGGAACCAAGUGCCUAAACAAUACCAAGGCUCUGUUAAAAUAGGAUCCAACAUAGCUUUCAAAAAAGGUGUUACCCUUAAUGGAUUAUCCUUAAAGUAGCAGAUGAGAAGCAUUCGUAAGAACAUAACCGUCUUCUUGAGCAUCAUUGCAUAAAUUUCGUUGUGCAAAGAAGCCCGAAUGAGCUAAAAUACGCAUGAGCCGGUAGAUGUUGCAUGCCUUGGUAGGGUUGAGCAUUGGUAGUGCAGCAUCCAAAUCAGUAAUGGCCAUAGGCUUGCCAUGAUUUUGAAUAAUAUAUGGGAUACCUAAAUGAAUUGCACAUUUGAGAGACAUGGAAUUUAUGAAAUUCAAAAUGUGGUUCAAAACGUGAGCUUGAGCUUGAAGUAGCUCAUUAACAUGCUCUCCGUUCGCAUUCACCAUAUCCAUCUUAGCCAAGGUCUUUUGGCCUUGCUCUUAACCCACGUAACACUGGAAUUUGCUAUUUAUAGACCGUGAAACAUAUCUGCAAGUAUGGCUUUACUCUGAAUCCGCACAACACUGAAAUUUUCUAUUUUUAGAAUAUUUUUAUGCCUUUUCGUGGUCAUUGGUUCCCAUGCUGUAACGUCUCAAUAAUAGAGUUAAAUCUGUUCAUUGUAAUAAUAGUAAAUGAGCCCAACGCUACCAUAAAGAAAUAUCAUUAAAGAUAUUGCAAAGGCGAAUUGAUCUUCCAUCCAAUGUUGUCUUCAAUCAACCUUUAAAACAAAAUAAUUAAGAAAUUAAAGAAAUAUCAUUUCUCUUAAAUAAUAAUUGAUAUUAUUAGUAUAAUAUUUUUAUUAUUGUAAAAUAGAUAUUCAUGCAGCCCCAUAAUGCCCAAGAAUUCAUUUUCUUGCAACUCUCGUACCCCUAAAAAUUUAUAAGGAACUUUAAUUAUAUUUAUUAGAGUUUUAUAACUUAUGGUGGUUGGGGCCCUAAAAAUAGAAAAUAUGUAUAAGUCUUCUAUAUAUACCAAAGUUAAAGUUGAAUAAUCCUUUCAUUUUUUUGUUAUUCUCUCUUGUUCAUUCUAUAUUUCUUUUUGUUUUAUAAUACAUUAUCAGCACAAUUUUGUUAACGAGUAAUAGGUUCUUAGUUUGUGCAAAAUUUUGUUGGGCUCUAAGCAUUGGAAUUUAAUUGUUUGGUUCAAAAAAUCGUGUGUGGUUGCUUGAGAUUUGUUUGGGGACGACCACUUUCUCUUCACUACAAAGAAUGCUCAUAGUCUAUACUUCUCAUCCACAACUACCUAAGUAAGUCUAAUAUUUUUUUUUUGAAAUUUGAUUCGAUUUCUAUUAAGAAGUUAAAUUUAUAUAAUUCUCUAUUUGCAUUUCUAUGAAUUUAUCAAUCCCUUCUUUAGUUUAAUAAUUGGAAUUUCUACGUGAAGUAUAUGUUUUUUUUUAUAGAAUUGAUUGGUUUAGUUUUAAUUUUGAUUAAAAUAUAUUAUUGUUCUUAUAUCUUCUUAUCUAUUGUAAAGGUGUAUUAUAUGCAAUAAUUAGUUUGGAGUUUAAAUUUAUACAUGCUUGAGAAUUGUAUAGUGAAUUUUUUGCUACAACCUCACUAAGAAAGUGUGUAAAAGAUUCUUUAAAAUUAUGGAUUAGUUUUGAAAGAAAAUUAUGAUAAAAAAAAUUAUCAUUAGAUAUAUUUCAUUCUCUGAAGUGAAUGUAGCAUUACAUAAUCAAUCUUAAAAAUGACAAAGUUAUAAUUGCGAUUAUGAGCAUGGUCUUUGAUGAGCUAUUAUGGGUAUAAUAAUCACUAUAUUAAUUAUAGUGAUUAUAAUAAUUCUUUUCUCUCCUAUAAAGUGGAAUGAUAAAUUUAAAUAAGAGAAUCAUUAAAGUUUUCCAAAUAGCCCUUCAAAGAGAACAAAAAUAUUUUUGUGAUACUCAAAAAUCAUUUGACACAUGCAUAUUGAUUGUGUAUUUUUCCAAGGUUUCAUAAAAAAAAAUGAAAGGGAACAAUGUGUAUACACAUUUGAUCAUUUUUUAUCAUUGAAAUUAAUUUGGAAAUUUGACAAUUUUGACAUAAUCCCUGAAGCGAAUAUUGCACAAAAUUUUAUAGAAAUUAUAUUUCUUUUGUUGAGUUAAUGACAUUAUGGACCUCUCAUAUAAAAGGAAUGACAACGGAAUUAUAAAUUGUCACAAUUUAUAUUGACAUUAUAAUUCUAUUAGUUGUGGUAAAGUACAAGGCUAAAAAAAAGAUGAUGCUAAUAAACAUUAUGAUAAAUAUGAAUGCAUUGUGUUCAUGCCUGUAGCAUGUCUAAAACAUUAAAUUUGGCAAAGUCUUAUAAAAAAAAAGAGAGAUUCCAUAUUUCAUGAUAAUAAAAUUUGAAUUAAAAUUAUGCUAUAAGAGUUGGAGGUUAGAAAUUUUUAAUUUAAAACCUUUGCAAAUUUAAUAUCUUAUUGUGACCUAAUAAUAUUUUGUGUUUUAUUGUGUUACGGUAUAUAAAAAGUUAUCUAACCGCAUGCUUGUUAAAGUGAUUGAGUAAUGACAUUAAUUUAUUUUUUGCUUUUAGUAUAUAUAUUAUUUAUACUUAUUCUUUAUACAAAUAUACAUAUUCUUUUAUAUGAAUAUGUAGGGAUUGUCCCGAUUAAGAAACAAACAAAUAAAAAAUAGCGGAAGUAAUUGAGAAAUUGAGUACACAAAUUUAACGUGGGAAAACCCCUUUAAAGAGGAUAAAAAACCACGGACAAAAGUAAUUUUACUAUAAUGGCAAAAGAACGAAGAGUAUAAAAGAUGGAGAUAAAAAUUAAACCCCAAAACAAAGAACCCUCAAAACGUAAAUACUAAAUUCUCCAAAAGUGUUAUGAGUUCUAAUCUUUUUUAAUGGGUGUAUUUUCUAAGGUUAUAAAAGAGCGUAUUUAUAGGCUAAAUUUGUAGGUCAAAUAAUAAUAAAAUAAUAUAGACUAAUCAAAGUUCGACUAAAACAGAUAAACAAAGUUUAACUGAGAGAUUACCUCUCAAAUUUGACUGAAAUAUAAGGCAUACUCAACAAAUCUCCACCUUGACUCGUAUUUUCACAACGUCAUCUUUGCCAAAUCUCGCCACGAGUCUAUGUUGAACUAUGUAGGGAAUUAAUUAAGUUGAAUCUAUGCUUAGAAGCUGGAAGACUUCUAGCAUUAUUGCUAAAUCAAAACUAACUCGAGUCUGACUUUCACUAACAGAGUGCCUUAACUUUUCAAAACCUGCAUCCAAAAGAGAACCUUUCUUCAACGAAACAAUCAUACCUUUUUCCCUCCUAUGACCAAGUUGCCUCCACUCCAAACGAGUUGACUUCGACUCUGCAAUGGACGAGGGACGUCUGGUUUCAUCGGUCACUAUAGAACCUUCCAGAAUAUAAAGACUAUUGGUCUUUUUACCUUUUAACAAAACAAGAGCCCCACAAGACACCUUAAUGACGCUUGACUCAAUGUUGAUUUUGUAACCUUUUGAGUCUAAAAUACACAAGCAGAUGUGAUUCUUUUGUAAACCGGAACCAUACCUGACAUUUGAGAGUGUCCUAAUCGUCCCAUCGUGCAUCCUAAUUUUAACAGUGUAACACCCCUAGCCCCUCUCUGUCAUGAAUUAGGGUUACAAGCAUGACCGUACAAUUAUAAAUUCUACAAUUAAUUUCAUUCAAUAGCAUAAACAUAACUUAAAUCAUUCAUGCAUACACAUAUUAUCCCUAAAUCGAGCCCUCGAGGCCCUAAAAAUACUUUAGAAAAAAAACUAGACCAAUUUGAAAUCAUUUGAAAACCCUAGGAAAAAUUCACAAAAUUUUGAAAAUAAGGGUCACAUGGCCGUGUAUUUAGGUCGAGUGCCUCACACGGUUGAGACACAGGCCCGUGUCUCAGGCUGUGUAAUAAUCGAAAUAGGGACAUACGGCUGUAUCCCAGCCCGUGCCUAUACCUGUAUAACAUUUGAAUUUGAGACACACGACCGUGUCCCAGCCUGUGUAACUCACUAAGUAAGGUUACACGGCCAUGUCACACACCCGUGUGCUAUCUGACUUGCAUCCUCAGUACUCAACAGAUGACACAUGGCCAUGUCACCAAGCCAUGUGACACAUGCCCGUGUGUUUGGCCGUUUGGACCUAAAAUGUACCUUAAACAACAAGUUUACCAUUUCCUACUUUCUUGGGUAUUAAGCAACUCAAAAACCAAUCAUUUAACCUAUUCAAAAUACGAUCAAACAUACUCAUAACAUGCCAAAACAAUCAUCUUAGGUGACUAACCAAUGUACCCUCAUUGGUACCACAAUUUAUAUCAUCAAAACAUAUCAUCAAUGCCUAAAAUUCAGAAUUUUCCCCUAAGGUCGUGCCCGUCAUUCCGAUCGACUAUAGGCCUUCCGUAGGGUCGAUAUGUGAUUAAAUAUAUUAUAAAACAUGAAAUUUGGUCAUUUUUUGGUUUAUUUUCUGCUAUCCACAAGUGUAUUUGGGAUGUCAUAUGAUAAUUAAAAUUGAGAACAAAAUAUUUAAUUUGUAUCUGAUAUGUUAUGUAUGAUUUUUGCCUUGAUCAUAUUUGAUUUUAGGAUGGGCUAUAAAUAUUAUGUGGAGGAAGUGUUUCUGUGAGAGGUGACAUCUCGCCCUCUACACUGGCAGCACUGCUGCAAAUAUUCUGUAAGUGUCUUAACGACAGUAAGUGGUGUGUAGGGUUGGAUAAGUGUUUCAAACCCCAUGUGGUGUGUUGGGAUGGUUGAAGAUGGUGUAUAGCAGUUGGGGGCAGGAAUUAUAUAUGUAUGUUUGUAUCUGAAUUGCUUUGUUAAGAUUCUGUACUGUUAAAUUGUCUGGUAAUAAUUAUCUGUUUGAGUUGGUUGUUGCACACUAAGUUACAAAAACUCAUUCUCUAUUUGUUUGUCACUUUUAGGUAACUCAUAGACUUAGGAGGGUCGGUGCGACAGGAGCUCGGUUAUAUUAGUAUUUUGUUCUUCCUAACUAUUUUAAAUUGGGUUUAAGUGUUUUGUAAAAUUUGGAUUGUUUGGAUAUUUUGGGAUCGUUUUGGUUUUGGAUUUUAUUUUUUACUUCUGCAUGAUACUGAUAAAACUAUUUAUCGAAAAUGUCUAUUUCCCUGCAAACAAUCGAUUUCGAGAAAAUAAACUUGGUUUUCUAAAAUAUAAUGACCUAAGAAUUUCCAUUGCAAAGUAUCCGUUUUAUUUAGAAAUGUAAACAAAUAAUGUUUUCAAUUAAAUAGUAAUGUCAAAUAUGUUUUCUAAUAAAACGAGUUUUUAAGUAACAAAAUUUUAUGAUGUUUUUUAAAAUAUACGAAAAUUAGAUUUAUAAUUAUUUUACGUAACAUAUCCAAAUCCAACCGAAAUAUUUAGGCCGAAUUUAGGAUAUAGUUGUAUGGUUGUUUCCGUUUGAAUGAAAAUAAUCAUCUUCACUAAAAAUUUAAUAAAUUGACUUGAACUUUAUAAGCAAACUAAAAUAUGAUCACGUAUAUUAUUAUUUGUUUAUCGGAUAACAUUUCAUUCUUAUCAGGCUGCAAGAUUGAAAUCUUAUUGAUAAAGAAGAAACAAAACCAAAAAAAUUUUGAAGACCCAAAAUCCAGAAAAAAGGUAAAAGUAUUAUAAUACGUUUUUUACUAUACUUUAAAUUGUAUUUUAGUUUCUUAGAAGAAAAAAUAGUAAAAUAUUCCCUGUAGUAAGAAAAAUAGUCUCUCCGUUAAAAUUGUACUAUUGAAUGUCUAUUUUGGUGUUUAUAUAUAUAGUAUAAUGAUAAAUUUAGCCUUCAAUUUUUACAUAUUUAUUGAAUUUGACCCCUACUCUUUUAUUGAAAGUAAACAGAAAUUUUUUAGAAAAGAAUAAGUCUAAAAGCCAAAAAGAUUUUAGUAGUAAAAUUUAAAAAAAUCAAUUAAACCCUUUUAAAAUUUAAAAAUUAUAAAUAAAUUUAUAAAAAAGUUAUAAAAAUUAAAAUUAUAAAGUUUUAUUAAAAUAACAAUACCAUCUCAAUAAAAGAAUAGGGGUCAAAUUUUUAAAAAUCUUAUAACCAUUAGAUUUUAAUGGGUCGGUAUUAUUAUUAAUUAAUUAAAAUUUUAUAAUUUUAAAAAUUGUACAACAUUUUUUGGAAUUUUUUUAUAUUUUUAUGAUUUUUUAAAAUAAUUUUUAAAUUUUACAAGAACUUAAUUGAUUUUUUUUAAUUUGUUACAAAGGCUUUUUUACCCUUUACCCUUACUAAUUUCAAAAAUUUCUAAUUUAAUACCAAUAAAAGAUUAGGGGCCAUAUUGAAUAAAAAUGUAAAGGUUGAGGCUAAAUUUAUUUUUAUACCUUAUAUUUAAACACCAAAUUUUAACAAUGAACUAUUUUACUCACUUAUCUAAUGUACAAGGAAUAAUUUACUAUUUUUUUCAAUAGAAAAAUAAAAUACAAAAAAAAAAUGGUGAUACUCUUAUUCGAAUAUGGUGCUACAAUAUUAUCACAUCUAUCGUUUAUUUAUUAAUUUCAAAAACGAGUUAAAAAAACAGUAUCAGAUUUUUGACAGGUUAAGAAAUUAUAAUGACCGUCCAAGUCCUCAAUCAAUAUAUAUGGCUUUUGGGUUUUCUUUUGUCAGAAUGUGCAUGGCUUUGAUUUUAAGCAACUUGGUGCAUUGAAAAAGUCAAUUCACUUAUUUAUUUUUGAUAACGUGAGUAGUAUAUUUAGUAGAAUUUAAAAGCUUCACAAAACUUUUAAAUCACUGUUUUAUUUGUUUCAAACGUACAUAUUAUAGUAAUAAAAAUAAUUUAAACCUCGCGGAGUCAAUUAUUUAUUGCUUCGAAAGUAUUAGAAAUAUGAAAAAUAGGAAAUUUAUUAAUCUGACUUAACAAAUACAAUUAGAUCUCCAAUACUUAUACACCAAAAAUAAUCAUUAACAGAAUAUACUAACAUUGAACUGUUCUUAACUGAUUUACAUUUCUUAGUUACUAUUGAUAUUCCCCCUACAUAUUCGCUUUGAAAAACAUCAGCAACUAUCACAUUUAUGUAAUAACAAGAAAAAGCACCAAUGUUUAACGGUUUGGUAAGCACAUCAGCAACUUGAUCAUUCGAAGGAGUAGUUGACCUGAAGUUGUUCGUUAAGCAUCUUGUCACGCACAAAACGUAAGUCAAGCUCAACAUGCUUGACACGAGCAUGUAACACUAGAUUUGCUACCAAAGACGUAAUGCUAGAAUUAUCACACCAAAUUAUUGGUGUACCUUUAAUCCUCACACCUAUAUCAUCUAGCAGAGAACGAAACCAUGUCACUUCGGAUGUUGCAUUAGCUAGACUUCUAUACUCGCCUUUUGAGGUGGAUCGAGAUAUAACACUUUGCUUCUUAGAAGUCCAUCCGAUGAGGUUGUUGCCAAGAUACACACAAAAUCCUGAUGUUGACUUACGAGAGCUAGCCCAAUCAACAUAAGAAAAACCUGUUAAGGAGACAUUCGAAGGCUGAAAAACCAGAACAUGAGUUAGUGUACCUCGAAUAUAACGUAGGAUCCGUUUGACAGCCGUCCAAUGAACAUCAUGUGGACAAUGCAUGUAUUUGCUGACUUUGUUAACAGCAAAUGCUAUGUCAGGUCGAGUCAGACAUACGUACUGCAAACUACCAACAACUUGCCAAUAUUUGGUACCAUCCUCAAGUGGAGAACCAGUCAACGAAGUGAGCGCAGGGGAUUUUACCAUAGGUGUAUUAACUGAUUUAGCAUUAGCCAUAUUAGCUCGCUCCAAGAGUUCUCCAGCAUACUUUUGCUUAGACACAUGCAUACAAUCUCCAUUUGUAUCCACUUGAAGGCCAAGAAAAUAUUUCAACUCCCUUAAAUCCUUAAGGAGAAUGUUUGGUUCAAACAUUGAAUCACAUCAUCUAACUCGGAGCAUACAUCACCUGUCACGGUUAUAUCAUCAACAUAUACAAGAAGAAAAAUACAACCAGAUAGAGUUUGUUUGAAAAAUAAUGAUGAAUCAGCUCGUGAACCUAAAAAUUCAGCUGUUGAACUAAAAAACCCCUUAAAUUUUCAAACCAUGCUCUCAAUGCAUGCUUAAAAGCAUAGAUAGCUUUGUUCAGUCGACAAGCUAAAGGCUUCCCAUUGACAUCCAAGGCCCCCAAACUAGGUGAUUGUCUCUUGUAUAUAUCUUCAGCCAAAUCACCAUUUAGAAAAGCAUUAUUGACAUCAACUUGGUGUAGUUUAUCCUUUCUCGACACAACUAGCGCAAUAAUAGUUCGAACUGUUUUUGCUUUGACCACAGGACUGAAUGUCUCAUGAUAAUCCAAUUUAACAGCUUGAGAAAAACCUUGAGCAACUAGACGAACUUUGUUUCGAGCCACACUACCAUCUGGGUUCUUUUUUAUCUUGAACAACCAUUGCAGCCAACAAGGAAUCGGUUAGCUGGUGUCGACAAUAAAUCCCAAAUAUUAUUUUUUUACUAGAGCUUGUAGCUCAUCAUGAACAACAUCCUUCCAUUUGGGAAUGGCCAUAGCUUCAUGAAUGUCAAUCGACUCAACUGAGCUAAGAGUAGCAGUGUAAACCUUUGGCUUGUUAACCCCAACUUUGCUCCGAGUAAUCAUAGGAUGAAUAUUACUCUGAGUUGAACCUUGCAUCAUUGAACUAGUAGAAGGAAUUAUAGUCUGAGUAUGCUGACUGUCAUCUGAUUUUGAUACGGACAAGCCUGAAACAGUAGAGUCCUAUUAAGGAUAUUGCAUAGAAUAUUCAGAAGGAGCUGGUAUAGAAACCAUAGGAUGAGUACUCACAGGUGAGGGAAACAUAACAAUUGGAAGAGUAGUAACAAUACUGGAACUAUCAUACUUCCAAAUUGAAACUUUGGCAAAUGGAAAAGCCCUCUUCAUCAAAUUGAACAUGUCGAGAAAUGUACACUCGACUACUCUUAUCCAAACAUUUAUAACCUUUGUGAUUUGGUGCAUAGCCCAGAAAUGUGCAAGGCGUGGACCUAUACUAUAACUUGUGACAGUUGUAUGGUCUCAGCAAAGGAGAGCAUAAGCACCCAAACACAUGAAGCUUCUUAUAAUCAAGAUUCUGACCAAUAAGCUUUUCACUCAGAGAUAUUCCACCUAACACGUUUGUAGGAAGCAAAUUCAUGACAUACUCAAAGUAAAAGGCAUCAGUCCAAUAAGAUAAGGUAAGGAUGCAUGAGCAAGCAUAACCAAACCAGUUUCCACAAUCUUCCAAUGACGCCUUUCCACCAACCCAUUUUGCUCAGAUGUGUGCAGACAAGUGAGUUGAUGAGCUAUACCACAACCCUUGAUAUAUGAAGUAAAGCUGCGAAACUCACCUCUCUCAUCUGUCUGAAGUUUUUUGAUCUUGACACCUAGCUGAAGUUCAACAUGAGUUUUGAAAUUCAAAAACAUUUGCAACGCAUCAGAUUUCUUGCGAAGAAAAUAUAUCCAUGCGUGCCUUGAAAACACAUCUACAGACAAAAUGUAAUACUGUUUGAAAUCAAUUUUCAAAUCUAAACCUACUUUAUACACUUAAAUUUUCCAGCGAAAUUUUCAAAAAAUUAUAGCAGCUGUGAAUAAUUAACAUAUUCUAAAAUAAAUAACACUGUUUUUAUCAUGUAUGUAUAAGAACCAUACUCAAUCUCAUCGUAAAACCCUAAUAAUAAAUAUAAAUAACAUUUCAACUAAUUUCAAGACUUCCUAAUAAUCCAUAUCAUGCAUCCUAAAUUAUCAGUUUUUAAAACAUUAUAUCCCAUGCCAUGGAUCCAUAAACAAUAAUAAUGACAAUAUCAAUAUUGAGAACCGAAUUAAUAAUAAUAUUCUUAGGUAAAGUCCAUGACAAGCUGGGACCCUCCAUAUGUCAAGCCCGCGUUCUAGCCCGUUGGAGUAUCUGAAAAGAUGGAAAAUAGGAGAGUGAGAUAGAGAGGCUUAGUGGGAGACAUUUUACAAUAGAUCAAUUCAAUAUUUGAACAUGCAUGUCAAUCAUUAUAAUCAAAUUCACAUAAUAACCUUAACAAUAUGAUAAUUCAGUUUCUGUCACUCUAGACAAGCAGACAUUAACACUCAAUCGAAUUCAAUUGAACAAUUCUACUAGAGAGUCAUAAUAUCAUUCACAGUGGGUAUAUGCACAUUUAUCAGUUCAGUCAUUUCAUCAGGUGCCUUUCAAUGAUGAUGCAUAUUAUGCAAUGCAACAUUCGUUUAACAUUUCUUUUAACAUUCAUUAAUCUCACCCCUGAUCACUAGCUCUCCAAACAGGGAGUUCCCUAGAACCCUUUCUACCUUUUUACUCAUCUCGUGGACUUUUACCACUACAUUCUUUUGGGUGUAGACAAAAGUUGUCGUUCGGCUGAAGAUCCACAACUACUCCCAGAUAAAAGUUUCUAGAGGGAUCGUGGAUGGCCAGUAAAUAAAGUCAUAGUUGGAAUCUACUAAGACUUUGAAUCCGUAGCGAACAUUCAUUUAUGCAGUAUGGACUAUCGUUCUUCCACCUUUCAUAACAUCCCCCAUGCAUAUGCAAUAUAAUUAGAUCUUUCAGUUUGAUCAUUCAACAUUCUACCUCAUAGCAUAAAUACGGCAAUAAAUAUAUCAACCAUUGAGGCAUAAGAAACAUUUAUUUGGCAUGUAUAACAGUUUGUAAAUAUAUAUAAUCAUUCACAAAUUUAAACAAACAUUCCUAAGAAAUUAUAUUCUAUUGGUAACCAUAAAAUCAUUCACGAAUUUAUGGCAUCAACCAUAAAUAUUUAAAUCAUAAAUUCAUUCAUUCAUGUGUUUAUCCAUUCUAUUCCUAGUCCGGGACCUAAUUGUAAAAUCUAGUUCUCUAGAUGCCAUUAAAAACCUAAUCAAGGGCUGAGUUUUAAAAAAUAAAUAUAGAUAAAGAAAAGCUGUAAUUUUUAGGUUUCAGGGGCCACACUUUAUGUGACCAACCCGUGUAUGAAGCCCCAAGCCCUAUGAGAUGCGUAAAGGUGAAGGUGUAGGAAUAGGCCGCGUACGAUGUAAAGGGGGUGAGUUGUAGGAGCCACAUGGCCGUGUGACCAGGCUGUGUGCAAGUCUCCAAGCCAUGUACAAAGCAUGAAUGCAAGGGAAAGCAAGGGAACAUAGCCUUGUGAGGGACCGUGUAACCUACAUGGGUGGGCCACAAGCCCCUGUGGUAGACUGUGUAUACCUGGCAGUUUUGAAUUUUGACCCGAUUUUUCAUAAAAUGUCACCCACCUUACUUUUUCGGGAUCUCAAGCAACUACCCCACGUUCAAGCUCAAUCCAAACACCUACAAUGGCCUUUCAAUUGGCAAAACGAGAUUAUCAAUAAGGGGUUUUCAAGAUUUGAGGGAGUUUUGACAAAAACUUUAAAGAUUCAAUAACAUAUUGAAAUAUCUGUUAAAGUUUGUUGUUACCCAAGAUUGGAAGGUCCUAAUUGGUAGGGAACAAGAUACUUACUAAUUUUUUUACAAGGAUUUGACAAGUAAGUACUGCAAACUUCAAUGAUUUUGAUGAAGACGCUAGAUUAGGGCUUGAUUGCAAGGAUUCAAGAAUUCAAAGAUUCUUUUUCCAGCUGUAAGGUUUUGAGAACAAAAUUGUAAGAGAGAGUUUUUUGAGAUUAUGAAGUAGAGGUCAGGUUUUUAAUUUGCUAAAAUAACAAAUGGGAAUUUUAGUUAAUUAGGAAGAGACUUUUAAAAAAUUGGGUUGAGCAAGAGUUUGAGGUCUAAUGGGCAAAUAGCCUAGUUGUAUUAUUUGGGAUGUUACAACUCUUAGUUCUCUAUACUUUCUACCAAGCUAUUAACCACUAGGCUAGGAUUUAAUUCUUAAUAAGUACUAAAAAUCUAACAUUAUUAUUUGUGAUGUUACAACUCUCCCCUCCUUAAAGGAAUUUCAUCCUUGAAAUUUUACCUGUUUUGAAUAAGUAAGGAUACUGUUGAUGAAAUGAAUCCUUUGUUUCCCACAUAACUUCCUCAACUCCAUGGUUUCGCCACAACACUUUCGCUAAAGGAAUUUGCUUCAUUCUCAGAACUUUCACAUCUUUUUCAUGAAUUCUAACGAGUUUUUCUUCAAAGGAAAAAUCAUAUUGUACCUCAAUUUCUUCAAUAGGCACAAUAUGCAAUUGAUCAAAACGAUAACGUUUUAGCAUGGAAACAUGGAAGAUGUCAUGGAUACAAUCCAAUUCAGGUGGUAACUCAAGUUGAUAAGCCACAGGACCAAUUUUUUUAAGGAUUUGGUGUGGUCCUAUGAAGUAAGGACAGAGUUUCCCUUUUUGACCAAACCUUAACACCUUUCUCUAUGGUGAUACUUUUAGAAAGACUUGAUCUCCCACAUUGCACUCAAUAUCUUUUCUUUUAAGGUCUGCAUAACAUUUUUGUUUAUUGGAAGUUGCUUAAAACCUCUCCUAUAUCAGCUUUAUUCUUCCUUUGGACUCUUGAACUAAUUCGAGACAUAGAAAUUUUCUUUCUCCCAGUUCAAUCCAACUCAAAAGGGUUCUACACUUUUGUCCUUACAAGGCUUCAUAUGGAGCCAUUUGGAUGCUUGCUUGAAAACUGUUGUUAUACGAAAAUUCAGCUAAGGGUAAAUGAUCUUCCCAACUGCCUCGGAAAUCAAUAAUAAAUUCUCUCAACAUGUCUUCUAGAAUUUGGAUUACCUACUCGAUUUGACCGUUAGACUGCGGAUGAAAAGCAGUGCUAAAAUAUAAACGUGUUCUCAAUGAAUCUUGUAGUUUUUUCUAGAAUUGAGAUGUAAAACGGGGAUUUUGAUCUGAAAAAUAGACAAGGGUACUCCAUGCAAUCUGAUUAUUUUGGAGAUGUACAACUUUGCUAACCUCUGUAGGGAAUAAUUUUUGCGUACUGGUAAGAAGUGAGCUAACUUAGUUAACCAAUCCACUAUAACAUAAAUUGAAUCUUUCGUAGUCAAUGUUAACGGUAACCCACUAAAAAAGUCCAUCGUUAUGUGCUCCCACUUCCAUUGUGGAAUUUUAAUAGGUUGCAAUAGCCUAGAAGGAAACUGAUGCUCCAUUUCCACUUGCUGACAAGUCAAACACUUAACUACAAAGUCUAUUAUAUCUCAUUUCAAACCUGGCCACUAGUAUAACUCCUUGAUGUCUUAAUACAUCUUUGUUCCUCCGAGAUGCAUGUCAUAAGGGCUAGCAUGCGCUUCUGGAAGCAUGGUUUGUCUUAAUUAUUCAUCUUUGAGCACACAAAACCUUCAUCGGAAACACAAUACUCCAUUAUCAUUCAAUGUGAAAUCUUUGAUUUUACUCUCUUCUAUCUGCUUAAUAUGGGGUAACAAGGUUAUGUCUAAAGGUUUACCUUGCAACUCGACUAACACACUUCCAUUGUCAUGCAAACUUAACCUUGCUAAUAUUGCUCUUAAUUCAGUCAUCGACUUUCAGCUAAAGGCAUCUACCAUAACAUUAGCUUUCCCUAAAUGGUAAUCAAUCACACAAUCAUAAUCUUUCAACAACUCUAACUAUCUCCUUGUAUAAGGUUCAAUUCGUUUUAGGUAAGGAGGUAUUUAAGGCUUUUAUAAUCAGUAUAGAUGUAACACUUGUCCCCAUACAAGUAAUGUCUCCAUAUUUUUAGGGCCAAAACUACUACGACCAAUUUUAGAUCAUGAGUUGGAUAAUUGCAUUCAUGAGUUUUCAAUUGUCUUGAUGCAUAGGUGGUAUCUUACCAUCUUGAAUUAACACACAACCAAGGCCUAUGUAGGACGCAUCACUGUACAUCUCAUAUUCUUUCCCAAAUUCAGGUUGAAUUAACACGGGUGCUUGAGUUAAAACAAUUUUGAGCUUUUUGAAACUAGUGUGCUAUUCUUCUGUCCACUUAAAAGGAACAUCAUUUCUAAGUAGUUUAGUGAGAAGGGCAGCUAUUACGGAGAAUCAUUCAACAAAUCUGCGAUAAUACCUUGUUAAGCCCAAAAAAUUAUGGAUUUUUAAAACAUUUUUUGGUUGUUUCCAUUCAAGGAUUGUUUUCACUUUCUUGGGAUCUACUCAGAUACCCUUGGUGGAUACCACAUGUCCCAAAAACAUAACUUCUUUAAGCCAAAAUUCACAUUUACUCAACUUGGCAUAAAGUUUCUUUUCACGAAGAUUUGUAAGACUUUCCUAAGGUGUUUAUUAUAUUCAAGUUUGAUUUUAGAAUAAACUAAGAUGUCAUCAAUGACUACCAUAACAAAUUGAUCAAAGAAGGGUUCAAAUUCACAAUUCAUAAGGUCCAUAAAAGUGAAUGGGGUAUUGGUUAAACCAAAUGGCAUUACAAGGAACUCACAGUGCUCGUAACAGGUUCUAAAGGCAGUUUUAGGUACAUUUUCUUCUUUAACUUCUAGAAAUACUUUAGUCUUAGGCCUAUCUUUGAAAACACUGUGGCUCCCCUAAACUGGUCAAACAAGUCAUCUAUUCUAGGUAAAGGAUAUUUGUUUCUUACGGUAAUCAAUGCAAAGUCUAAGGGUUCCAUCUUUCUUUUUCACAAAAAAGAUUGGCGCUCCCUAUGGUGACAUGCUAGGCCUAAUAAACCUGCGAUCCAAAAGUUCCUGAAGUUGGAUUUUCAGUUCAUACAAUUCUUUUGGGGCUAUACAAUAAGGAGCUAUAGAUACGGGAUUGGUUUCAGACAUAAUUUCAAUUUUGAAUUCUACUUCAAGAUCUGGGGGUAUUCUUAGUAAUUAUUAGGGGAAUACAUCAGGAAAGUCUUUAAUAGUUUAAAUACUUUCUAAGGCAUUACUAUUGGUAUUCCCAUUUAAUACAUAGGCUAAGUAAGCUUCACACAUUUUUCAAAUUAACUUUUCGACAACCGUGGCUGCCACAACAUUAGAUAGAUAGCCUCUAUGUUCCCCAAACAUGACAACUUCUUUGCCCUCGAUUGUUCUUAACUUUACUCUCGGUUGUUCUUAACUUUACUCUCUUUGUGGCACAAUCUAAGUUUGCCAACCCAUACCUAGUAUUAAAUUAAACUCCUCAAAAGGUAACUUUAUAAGGUCAGUAAGAAACACCACCCCUGAAACCUCUACCGAACAUCUUUAAUAGAUUUUAUUAGCGGUGACAGAUUGUCCCAAAGGGCUUAACAUAGUUACUGUAGUGGUGGUCACUUCUACCCUAACACUUAGCUUUUCUGACAUUUCACAAUAUACAUAGGAGUGGGUGGAACUUAUAUCACUUAGGGUGAAAUAAGGGGUAGAGUUAACAAUAAAUGUACAUGCUAUAACAUUGGCAUUAUCCUUUUCCUUACGACCUCUUACGGUGUAGACUAAGGUAGGUUGUCUAGCCUCAGUUUAGUUGGCACUGGCAUUGUUAUUUCAGUUCUGGCCUUAGCCCCUCGGAGGUGGUUGGGUCAGCUUCUGGUUUUCUGUCUGAUUUUGAGCUAGAGCUUGGUUUAGACCUGUACGUUGCGAACAAUUUCUAAUAAGGUGGUCCAUCGAACCACAGACAUAAUAGAUACCUUUCUUUUUCCAAUACUCACCGGGGCUUACCACAGUAAUCAUAUUUGGGUUUUUCAUUUUUAUCAUUCACCUCAGCUCCCUUUUGUUGUGGUUUAAUUUCUCUAGUCCGUUUAAUAAGACGGAUGUCCGAACCAAAGUUACCCGAAUAUCUUUUAACUAAACUUCAACUUUUCGCUCAUUCAAUAUGAGUUGUCUAUUUAAUCUUCUUAGCAAUUUUGGCUUUCUCCACCAGACUUUUAGAUACCCUUUCCUAAUGAGUGGCAACAUGUAUACUAAUAUCACUUUGCAACCCAUUUUCAAAUUGCACACUUUUAACCUGUUCAGUGGUUAUCAUUUUCUGGGCAUAACGACUAAGUUUCAAAAAUUCAGCCACAUAUUCAGCUAUUAACUUAUCAUCCUGUUUCAGUUCAAGAAAUUCAAGUCUGCGAGCCUCCACAUAUCUUGCACCCACAAAAUUUCUUUAAAAAUUUUCCAAAAAAUAUUUCCAUUUGAUACGUUCAACCUAAGUACCUUUUUCAACAGCCUGCCACCAAUGAUAGACCUUUUCCCUUAAUAAGGACAUUGUACCUUUUAGUUUCUGCUCUGGGGUACAUUCUAGAUAUCAACCUUGUCGUAAUCUGACAUUGAGGCCAUGUUCCACCACUAGAUCUCCCAUGCCCUUGACCACGAAGCCUAGUUACUUUAUUGGACCGAAAUGCCUGAGGCGGUGGUUGUCCAACAAAUGUAAGAAUGGCUAUAGUAGACGGAGAAGCAAAUGAUAACGAUUUGUUCUCCAUCACAAGAGUGGCUGAAAACGUGGCCUGAGAUAGAUGUACUUGUUGACGGGCUCCAGCAUCCAACCGCGUCAUCGUUAUGCCUUGUAAAUUGAAUGGCACUUGACUCGUCGUUAUUAUAGAAAUGACAUAGACAUAUUCUGGAGGAAAGCCAUUAAGAAUGGUUGAUUGAUACUCCUCUAGAGAGAUAUGCUGAUCACACCCAUCCAUUGAAUCACAAAGGUGUUUAAUUUUAGCCAAAUAGGCUGACAUCGAAAGCUUAUUCUUUUUAAAAUUAUGCAGCAAAAAACGAUACCUCAUGGCUUUAGUAGCGGAUUGAGUUCCAAAAAUGUGCAUGAGAGCACCCCCAAAGUUCAAACGCAGAAGAUGAAUCCCAGUCAACUAAUUAUGCAGCGAAGCACUUCCUGUGGAAAGAAGCCAAGCAAACAACGUUGAAUCUUGUUGUUCAUACUGUGCAUACGCUAGGUUUUCAACAGUAAGACCACUGGCCCCAAUAACUUCUUUUGAGGGUAUAUGAACUGUUCCAUCAGCAAAAGAAUGUAAUUUGUGAGUUUUGAUUACCAGUAAAACAUACUACUUCCAAGCCAAGAAGGUACUGUUAUCAAUAAGCACUGCUACUUUAUGUGAAGCAAAAUCAAAUGGAAUGAAAAAUUUCUUGAUUGUUGAUUCUUUCAAAGGUCGCAGCAUCCAUAGCUAACAGUAAUGCUCUGUAAUGCUAAUCUGACGACAGAGACGAGUUAGGGGUGUUACACCAAUGGUUUUAAAAUCACAAGGCCAAAAUAUCAGAAAUUAAACACAUAACACUUACCGAUUAUCCGUGCACUAUCACUGCAUGUUAGCAUCUUUUACAAAAUACUAUCACUUUCAUAUAACAUAUAUAUCAUGUAUACAUUUGCACUUUUCACAACAGAUACCAUAUCCACAUAUCACAUACUUGAGCUUCUUAUCACCAUGCACAAUUUCAUAAUCAUAUAAGCACAAAUCCACAAAACAAAUAUAGAUACAAGAAAACUUAUGCUCAGAAUUUAGAAUAGAGAUUUAGGCUACUACUAAAUUCUCCAAUAACACUUGACUCGUGUUUAUGAAUAGUGAUUCCAAACACUCACCCCCAUGCUUUUGCUGAGAAGUCAAAAGCUCAACUAGCUUUUCCUUUAACUUGUAGAAGGCUCCAAUGAAUCCGAGGCUUAACACACAAUAACCGUACAAAGUUCACAACCAGAUUGUAGCUAAGGACUCACUUAAACCGACUAAAGCAUCAACCUAUUCUAAGUUCUCAUGUAACCAAAAUUUAACAUAACAAACUUAGAAUGCUCGUAACUCGGUCUACACUUAACCUUUUUGCCUAAAAUGAAUUAUGUUCAUCUGAUUAGUCAUCUGCUUCAAAUCCUCAACUCUUAAACCACUAAAAACUACCCAAUUCAUAUUAUCAUAAUUUUUCGACAUAUUUUUGGCAAUCUUCACAAAAUUCAUUAAAACGUAAGUAAUUAUCAACGAAACUUCAAGGUGAUUUUAAAAACCUUCUAAUCAUGAUAAAAUGAGUUGAAAAAGACUUCAAAAUCACGUUUUAACUCAAAAUUAAAAAAGGGCAAAACUAGCAGUAAUUAUCACAACUCACUAUACGUAUUCAUCACAAUUAAAAAAGAAACAAAUGGGAUAGGAAGGCUUACUUUCGAAACUUAUGAUAGCGGUUUAGGCUACUCCUAAGCUCUCGUUUAACACUAUGAAUUGUGCCUACAAGCAGUGAUUCCAAAACACUCAUCGUUCACAUUUUCACUUGAAAAUCGCAAGCUCAAACUAGUUUUUGCUCACCUUUCGCCUUACUCAAAAAGGGCCCCAACAGUUCCAAAGCUUUAGAUAUAUAACCACACAACAUAUACAAGCAAUUAGCAGCCAAAAAACGUCUUAAUUCAAACCAAAAUGUAGGUUCAAAACUAGCUUUUCUAAAAACUAGAAUUUUCUACUAGAUUCACUAAAAAUCAAAUAGGGUUUGUCCUAUUUUGAUUACUCUAACUUUUUUCUCAAUUUAGUCACUUUAAAUAAAAUAAUUGUGUGACUUAGUUACUAACUGCCUCUCGACGUACCAACACCAGAGGUGUGAAUACUGCUAUUAAGGAUAGGAAUUAAGGCGGUGUCCACAAGUAUAUGGGUUAGGUUGUAAUAUAGUUUACAACAAAGUAUGAAAGUAUCCGAGAAUCGUACCCUAGGGAGGUGAGACUAAACUAAUAUUAAUUUCUACGUUGAUGGGUCAAGUUAGUAAUUAAAUUAAAUUAUAUUACAAUAUAUCCUAAGGUGAUGAGAAAAUAUCUUUUAUAAAAAUAAGAUAAUUAAGAAUUGGAAUAGAGUGCAGAUUCUAUCAAUUCUAAUGAUGGAAGACUAACUCGUUUUAGUGUUCAUAAUUAUCUUCUACUUAGGGUUCUCCACAAGGCCUCUCUGUCUUCCACUAACCUAAUGUGUCGGCAAAAACUACUUAUCUCUCGAUGCCACAGUCCAGACCGAACGGGGGUAAGGUUUUAACGAAUAGGUAAUACUGAUUUUGGGUUCAUUCCCACCUAUAUGACUUAUUAAAGUCAUCAAGCCUAGGGUUUUAAGUUCUUCCUAUCCCCGACCAACUGGUUUGCUAAGAAUCUCUAAAUAGAAGUUAAUGAAUCCCACAUCCACUCGUUAAUCUUCCUUACCGGAUUAGUUCCCCAUGGAUUUAACACAUGCAAAGAAAUUGAUAGUAAAAUAUAAACAUUAUAAAAGAAAUCAAGAGUAGAGAUGAGAAAAAUCCUGAUAAUUUAAUAACAGAAGCACGAACUAAUGAAAACUUAAUGAAAAACUAAACUGAAUACAAAGCUAAAUAAAAACUAUUCAUGAAGUGUUUAGAUCCUUCUAUUUAUAGGCCUAGGGUUGGUCAUCAAUCAUUGACCUAAUUCGGCUGACGUUUUGCAUUGAAGUUUGUUGUGUGAGCACCCUUGGUUAAUUAAUUCCUCAUGUCAUGUCGGUGUCGCGACACCCACUGGCCUGUGUCGCGACACUAAUGGUAGUUUACGAGUUAGGGCUUGAUUUUAGGAUUGUGUCCCGACACCCUCUUGCUAUGUUGCAAAAGCUUACGAAAUUGAUGAACUAUAAGGAAAGGCUUGGUACUCCAAUUAAAGAACAUAUACUUUUGUUUAUGAAUCUUUGCAUAAGUGGAGGACAAUGGGCAGGUUUGGAUCAUAACACUUAGACAGAGAUGGUGCUCAAAUAUCUAAUAUUAUUAUUUUUAUUAUAUUAUUAAAAAUUCCACGUGUCAACUACCAAUUUGCUAAAGGGUUUUUUUGUAACAGUGAUAAUGGUAUGGGCCCAUAAUGGUUACAAAAUUAUAAUUUCAGUACUGGAUUUGACAAAAAAAUGUAUCUAACUAAAAGAAGUGUUAUAGUUUGAGGGUUGUGCAUUGAACUAAGCCUUUUAUAUAGUAGUGAUAUAAAUAUCUUCUUCUUUUUUUGUACAACGAUUAUUUUCCCUAGCCUAGUCCUAGGAAAGGUGAACAACUAGAUCAAUAGGUUACAAUUUAAAGUUUAGUGACAUAAUUAUCUUUAAUUGCAUUUGGUAUCAUAUACUCAUAUUGAUUUUUAUGACAUUUCAAGUUAACUUGUGACAUGAACUAAGCAAAAAGCUUUAAUAUAGUAUAAAUACUAAAUAAUUGUAUAUUGGGAUACUCGUUCUAUUUAGAUAUUUGAUGUCUACAAAGCGUUAUUGUGGCUUUGUGUUCAAAGGUUAGAUAAUAUUGUGAUUGAAUCUGAUUGUCAAAGUGUGAUCAAUGCUUUAAAUCUUCCAAGUAUUGAUGUGUGAAAAGUCGCAGCAUCCAUAACUAACGGAGCAAUUAGAAGGGAAAAAAAGAAAAGAGCCUACUUUGAUACCAUAUUAGAGAUAUGAAAUAUGAGGAAAUUCGUUAAUCUGACUUAACAAAUACAAUCAGAUAUCCAAUACUUGUACACUAGAAAUGUAUCGCUAAUAGAAUAAAAAAAACUACCCUUAACUACUUAACUAGCAAUGAACUGCUCUUAACUAAUUUACAUUACUUAGUUACUGCUGAUGGAAAGCACUUGUGACACUGUUAUCAACAAUGGAUGUCUUGAUUAUGAAAAAAAUCAAAUCUCAAAUUAAUAAUUUAUUAACUAUUGAAUUUGACGAUUAAACCCCAUCAGAAGCGAAUCCAACAAUUCAUUACGGGGAGCCAAAAUAAAAUUUUAAAAAUUAAAGGGAUUAAAAUUUAAAAAAUUGUUAAAAGAAACUUAAAUUAAAUAAUUCAUAACUAAAAGACACUGAAAGAGAUAUUAUGCCGGUAAAGGGUGACCGUCUACCCUUUAAUUAGGCCAUGAACAUCGGUUGACUAACACCGUUGUUUGUUUGGUUUUUUUUUUUAAAUAAUUAGAGAUUUUAGCUUAGUUGGUGUAAGCAGCAAUUAUUUGUCCAUUUAAUAUUAUAUUUUGGUGGGAGGUCAUUAAUUCAUGAAGAUAAAACGGCGAGGACGGUUGCCGUGUCUCAAUACGCGACUUAGUACGUAAGUGCUUACGUUUGUAUCAUAUAUAUUAUUGAAUAUAUCCUAAUAAGUAAUCUAAUCUAGAUACUGAAAAUCUAAUAAUCUUUGUUAAUUAUAUUAUGGUAAAUUCUGCAUCAAUAUUCACCUUCUUUUCCCUUGUUAAUUUUAAAUUUCUUGAAUGAUAAAAUUUUUAUUUAUGGAGUUCAUUAAUAAAUAUUUUUAUAUAAUUGAUGAAUAUUUUAUAUUUGAAAUUUAUUUAAUAUCAUUUAUUUUAUAUUUGUAAAUAUUUAUAUAUAUAUAUUAAAUUUUUUUAAUAUAUCGAUAAAUUUGAAAUGAUAUAUCGAAAUAGAUCGGUACCGUUAUGUACCAGUUCUAGUAGAAAAAUGAUGUGCCCACCAGUGUUGUAAGCUCCCCGACUCGACCUAGAUGCUAGACAGAAUCUAGAAGACAACAUCAGCCAUCGAGAUGGCCUACCAGGGUUAUCGAAGUUUAAAAAACAGCCAUUUUAAAACCUUCGUUUAAUUUCGUAGAAAAAUUCGAUUACAAACCGUUUUAUUAUUCCUCAAAAUCUUAAUUUCAAUUUACUAGCAAAAGAAAUGAUAUCUAUUGGUUUUAAGGAAAACCGGGGCUUCAUGCAUACAAAUUAAUGAUUAUAGCAUAAUAUCUUAAAAUUUUAAAUAAAAUGUCAUGCAAAAUAAAAUCUCAAAUCUAAAACCUAGGUUCGAUGCCAUAGUUCGAAAUAAAGUAGUACAAAAACUAUAAUAAUAGGAUAACCCAAAUAAUAAGUCUUAAUAAAUUGAAAUUUUGAAACCGAGCCGAGACACUCUAAUUUUCACGUAUGCGUUCCUAACCUGGUGGGUUAUCUUUAAGGAUGAAAAUUUAAGGGGGGAGUGAGCUGUAACGCUUAGUGUGAGUUCAAUCACGAGAAAAUUAGUGCAACAGUUAGUAAGAUGCAUUAGAUAAUAUCGCAUAAAAUAUUCACAAUCAGGCAACAAUUCAAAGUAUCGAUUUUUCAAAGCAACCACCAUUAAUAUAUCGGAACUCACAAUAGUAGUUUUCAGAAUAACCAAAUUUUCAUAUUUACCCACAAUGAACAUAUAUAGACACAUAUAUAUAAUAAUAGAUUUUUGUAUGCACAUGUGUUUAAAAUGCCAUAUAGUUUUGGUUUUUAACAAAAUAGAUCCUACCUCACCACUACACACACUAUAAUGGGAGUUAACCAGAACUCCCUUCUCCAACGCAACGGGAUAUGGAUAAACCACUAUUGGUUCGUAGAUAGUAACUUCCAUUUGACUGUGGACACACAGAAAGUCCCCGUAGUUGGAAUCUGCCUUUAGUUGUGGGUUCACAGCAAAAAGUCCUGCAGAUGAAACCUACUUUUUGGCUAUAGUUUAUACAGCAUAAACCUGCAGCUAGAAUCUGCAUUUGGCAAUGGAUACACAGCAAUACCCACAGAUGGAAUUUGCCUUUGGUUGUGGAUGAUACAAAACAAAUAAAUGCAGAUAAAUUGCCAAACUUCUUCCGAUCACAUCAUCUCAUCCCAUGCAAUGCAAUGCGGCAAUAUUUAAUAUAGAUCAAGUAUGAUAGCAAUUAAUGUACUAAUACAUGACCAAUCAGUAGCAAAAUCAUGCUUUCAUGUGUUCAGAUUAAUAGUAACAUAAGUCAUGUCGUUCAUACGAUCACAAGUAUAGAUACAAUAUUAACAUAUACUAUUCAUAAUUUAUGCAAAUAUACAUAUACAAAUAAACACUGCAUUAAUUCGAUCGAUCAUGGUUUCUAACAUAUUUCAUAUCCUCAGGGAUCCAAUUGCAUAAUUCAAACACUAAAAAUAGUUCAGAACUUAUUCAGGGAUACAUCUGAUCAAAACAUAGAAUUCUAGGUCAUCCUCGAAAUUUACCUAGUUUGAAUAGAUGAGGAUACUGUUGGCGAAACGUGACUUUUGGUUCCCAUGUAGCCUCCUCUGUCCUAUGGUUCUGUCACAAUACUUUCACAAGAGGAAUUUAUUUCCUUUUCAAAACCUUUACGUCUCAAUGAAGAAUUUGAAUUGGUUCUUCCUCAAAGGACAAAUUCGGUCUCAAUUCGAUCUCCUUAAUUGGAAUAAUAUGGGUAGGAUUGGAUCAGUACCGUCUCAACAUAGAGACAUGGAAAACGUCAUGGAUUCGAUCAAGUUCGGGAGGUAAUUCUAAUUGAUAAGCAGCUGGGUCGAUUCUCUUAAGGAUUCGGUACGGUUUUAUGAAUUUUGGACUUAACUUACCCUUUCGAUCGAACAUGAACACCUUUCACCUUGGGGACACUUUCAGGAAGACUUGAUCGCCGACACUGUAUUCAAUGUCCUUCCUCUUUAAGUCAUAUGUAAUUGCAAUGUAUGAGUUUUCAUCCUACGUAGUUCGUGUGCCAUGUGUGGGGUGAAGUCAUAUUCUUUUCGAUUUAGUCCAGUUGUUUCCGAUUCUUUAUCCAUUGUGCGUGUGUUAUGUGUAUCAUAUAAUAUUGUAUUUGAUCGAACAUAUAUUUAUAUUUAUAUUGUACUUGUGAUUGUAUUGUAUUUAAUAAGUUUGUGAAAUUAACAAUUUAAAAAUAUAUAUUUACCUAUUUCUAUUAUAAUAUUGUAUUUGAUAGAACAUAUAUUUAUACUUAUAUUGCACUCGCGAUUAUAUUGUAUUUAAUGCGUUUGUCAAAUUAACAAGGGGGCUCCCAGUUUUGACAUUCACUUUUUCGAGAUUUUAACUUUUUUUUAAAUAGUUACUGAUGUCUUUUUUUUUACAUAAUACUUAGAACUAUUCAUAAUCUUUGUUCAAUCUAUAACCAGGAAGAUAAUACAUUUUAGCGCACUCGAACACACGUCCUCCUGUUUCGGUAACAAUAUCCAUGCCAAUCUAGUUAAGACUCAAUCGGCAUAUUUUUAAUGUUAUAUUUUGGUAUAAUUAAAACGAGAUUGCGUAUUAAUAUUUAUGAAAAAUGGUUUUUUUUUUUCAUCAUCGAUGUUGCUUUUAUGAUUAAAAUUGAGAGAGAAUAUUGUUCAAAGAAAAAUAAAAAAAAUCAAUGAGGUAGUCAUGAACUUGGGGGGCGAAAAUGGCGUGGAGAUAGGUUGACUUGCCUCAAUAGCUAUCUGCUUGCGCAUGUAUCAUAUUAUUGAAUAUAUAUCUAAUCUAUGUGGUAGCGGUCAGGUUUUCAAAGUUUGGGACAUUUAGACAUGAAAUAUAUUGGGGAGAUUUUACUAUGGGUUGAGAAAAAAAUUAUAUUAGGACCAAAAUUUCUAACAAGUUGCAUGAGUUUGACCAUAUGCUAUAUAGCUUUCGGUUUGUAUGUAUUCUGACUUUUGUUUAUCAUUUUGCAUCACAACAGGUCCAUGCUCUCGGGACUGAUACCGUACGGUACUUUGUACUGAUAGUUUAACUUGGAGCCACAUAUCGAAAGUCCACUUUCAAUAUGGCAUCACACGGAGAUUUAAUUAAUUUUUUUACAACAGUUGAUGAAAUCAACCACUUAUUCUUUUAAACAUUAAAUUUUAGUGCAUAAAUUGAUGAAGAGCCCGGCUCCCAUAUGGAAUCUUGUCCAAUCAAACAGGAGUAUCAUAGCCUAUAAAUAGCAUAUUGAGCCGUAUAAUAAUUCACUUCAAAACAAAAAGAUCUUAAAAACAAACAAGACGUCAGCUAAGAUGAAUAUGGGCAAUGCUAAUGGGGAGCAUGCUAUUGAGGCACUCCAAGCACAAGCUCACAUUUGGAGACAUGCUUUCAACUUCGUAAGCUUCAUGUCUCUAAAAUGUGCACUUGAUUUAGGCAUCCUUGAUAUCAUUCAUGAUCAUGGCAAGCCCAUGACUAUUACGGAGCUGGUUUCUGCGCUACAGAUGCUCAACCCUGCUAAAGCAUGCGACAUUUAUAGGCUCAUGCGCAUUCUAGUUCACUCGGACUUCUUUGCACGCCAAAAGUUAGACAAUGAUGCUCAAGAAGAAGGAUAUGUUCUUACCAACUCUUCUCGUAUUUUGCUCAAGAAUAAUCCCUUCUGCAUAACGCCUACUUUGAAAGCUACAAUGGAUCCUAUUAUAACAAAGCCUUGGAGUUUUCUAGGGACCUGGUUCCAAAAUGAUGAUCAUACUCCAUUUGCUACUGCAUAUGGAAAGACAUUGUGGGACUAUUUUACCCAUGAUCCUCAGCUAAAAGAUUUGAUAAAUGAUGGCUUAGCUAGUGAUUCUCAAUUGGUUACUAGUGUUCUAGUUGACAAGUGUAAAGGGGCAUUUGGGGGAUUGGACUCCCUUGUAGAUGUUGGGGGUGGCACAGGAACUACGGCCAAGGCCAUUGCUGAUACAUUUCCACUCAUGGAGUGCACUGUGUUUGAUCUUCCUAAUAUUGUUGCUGGCUUGCAAGGGAGUAAGAACUUGAAAUAUGUUGGAGGCAACAUGUUUGAGGCAUUUCCAGUAGCAGACGCAAUUUUAUUAAAGGUUAAGCUUUACUAAAUUUAUUCGCAUUAUUUUUUUCUGGUAUUUUUACUUUUAUAAAUAAUGCACAACAAAUUCCAUUACACAUGAUAAUAUUCAAAGAUUUGAAGGCAAAUGUAAUCAUAGUUUGUGGGUUAGCUAAUGUUUUAUGUUUUUUGAGCUAAUUAUGAAUGAUAAUUGAACAGAAGGUAUUGCACGAUUGGAAUGAUGAAGGAUGCUUGACAAUUUUGAAGCGAUGUAAAGAGGCCAUUUCAAGCCAAGACAAGGUAGGAAGAAAGUUGAUCAUAAUUGACAUGGUUGUGAGGGAGAAUGAGCAAGUGAAUGAUGAAGCCUCAAGCUUAACUAAAACACAACUCUUUUUUGACAUGUUCAUGUUGGUAUUGGUGGCUGGAAAAGAGAGGCGGGAAGAAGAAUGGGCUAAACUAUUUUUAGAAGCUGGUUUUAGUUAUUACAAAAUUACAACUAUUGUGGGUUUGACAUCUCUCAUUGAGGUUUACCCCUGAGAGCAUUUGGUUAUUGCAUUAUGAGAAUAAUAAUGUGGAGAAAUACAUAGUUGAAGUGGUAAAAUUGUUCUUUGUUGACAUUAAUUACUAGAGUUGUUUGCUGGGAUUUUAAUUGUGUUGCCUAUUCCUAUAAUAAGAAUUGUUGUUGUGUUGUUGUCAUGGUCCUACUCUUCUAGACCUUUCCUAUUGUUAUUACUCUUAAGGUUUGUACUUGGUUGUUUUGUCCGUAAUUUGUUUUACUUCAGUCCAUGCACAUAUAAUUCUAAUUUUAAUAGUUUGGUGGUUGUUGAUUGUUGAUCAGAGCGCAACGGAAGCAUGAUAUUAGAUUUUUAUUAAAUAUUCCAUGAUUAAUUGUGUGGUGUGAUUGGUCAGUUACUGUGUUUGUGGUGGUUUGAAAUGGAGAGUCAGUUUGGUGACUAAUGUGACGUUCCAAGUUCAGGUCGGACCGUUCCUGCCGAGUUUAGGGUGCCACAUCAAAGCCCUAUUUUAAGAUGUUACAAAUAUGCUUGUCAAAGCAGCUACGAAAGAAAUGUAUCCAACUUGCCAUUGCAAAAUGUAAAUCAAAAGAUCCACUUGUCAUUGCCACUUGUCAAGACAUUUGUUGCAAACAAAAAAAUUAUUGGAUGCAAUUUUAAAUUUCAAAAGACUACAUCUAAACCCUAAACCCUAAACCUUUUUCAUAUUUAAAUCAAAAGCAAAUAACAUAAUCAUUAAUCCAUACUUUCAUUUUUUUUGGUUUUGUUUCUUGAUCAUCAAAAACCAUGAUUGUUUAAACCAGAUUAGAUCGACACAUCCUAGGGUUUCAAGGGGGCAUUGCCGCGUAUGGGGGACGUGUGGUCCACAUGCCCGUGUGGUUGGCCAUAUGGCCCUAUUUUAGGCUUGGUUUUUCCCCGAGUCACUUGCAAAAGGAUACACACCUAUCACCGGUGUCUCAAGCGACGUCCCAUGCCUUAACACAUGCACUUAACUCAAAACAGUUGCUCAUACACAUUUUUCAUGGAUGAAUACUUAUGCAGAAUUGGAUACCAUUAAAUUUGCACUCAGACAUUGUAACACCCCUCACCCAGCCCGACCGCCAGACCCGAGUUACAUGACACUACAACAUUAUCGUAACUUUGCCACUUGCACACAUAGCUUCAAGCAAGAACAAUUUUUAUUAGUUUAAGCAUUUUCAGAUGUGAUUGCGACUAGGCAAACAUCAUACAACAUUCGAAAUAGUUUAAAUACAUGCUUAGGGACCAUAUAGCAAAUUUCCAAAAAAAUAUGUAGGUAUUGAUACACAAUAGUAGGAAUCAAUAUUUUGGGAAGUCAGAUAUCGAUACUAAUAAGAAAAUCAAUACCAUUUUAGCAUUCUGGUUUUUCAACUCAAUUUUGAAUCAAAAUGUUUUAUCGAUACAUAAACAAAGGUAUCAGUAUUUUUACCUUGAGUAUCGAUACUUGUAAAAAAGUAUCGAUACCAAAUUCAGUUACUGUUUUCCUGCACAUAGUAAAAAAGUAUCGAUACCAAAUUCAGUUACUGUUUUCCUGCACAUACAUUUUAAGAUCAAGGUAUUGAUAUUUAUGCCCCGAGUAUCGAUACCCCUAUGCAAAUCAACCAAAUCACAACCACAAUAGAUCCUACCUCACCACUACACACUAUAAUGGGAGUUAACCAGAACUCCUUUCUCCAACACAACGGGAUAUGGAUAAACCACUAUUGGUUCGCAGAUAAUAACUUCCAUUUGACUGUGGACACAAAAAAAGUCCCCGUAGUUGGAAUCUGCCUUUAGUUGUGGGUUCACAGCAAAAAGUCCUGCAGAUGAAACCUGCUUUUUGGCUAUAGUUUAUACAGCAUAAACCUACAACUAGAAUCUGCCUUUGGCUAUGGAUACACAGCAAUACCCGUAGAUGGAAUUUGCCUUUGGUUGUGGAUGCACACAAAAUAGAUGAAUGCAGAUAAACUGCCAAACUUCUUCCGAUCACAUCGUCUCAUCCCAUGCAAUGCAAUGCGCCAUAUUUAAUAUAGAUCAAGUAUGAUAGCAAUUAAUAUAUUUAAUAUAGAUCAAGUAUGAUAGCAAUUAAUGCACUAAUACAUGACAAAUCAGUAGCAAAAUCAUGCUUUUCAUGUAUUCGGAUUAAUAGUAACAUAGGUCACGUCGAUCAUACGAUCACAAGUAUAGAUACAAUAUUAACAUAUAUUAUUCGUAAUUUAUGCAAAUAUACAUAUACAAAUAAACACCGCAUUAAUUCGAUCAAUCAAGGUUUCUAACAUAUUUCAUAUCAUCAGGGACCCAAUUGCAUAAUUUCAAACACUAAAAAUAGUUUAGAACUUAUUUAGGGAUUCAUCUGAUCAAAACAUAGAAUUCUGGGUCAAAAUGGUAAAAUCUUAGUUAUAGGGUACAGACGACUGUGUUAUCGGAUCAUGUCGGAGGCCUUGGGUCGUGUGGAUGGAAUGCACACCGCGUGGCUAGGCCAUAUGGGUCAUGCAAAAUUAAGCAUCAGGGGUGACAAGGUUGUUUGGGAGGUCGUGUAGGGGGUCCUAGGCCAUGUAAAAGGUGAUCAUCCUAGGGUUCAAGGGGGCAUGGCCGCGGAUGGGGGACAUGUGGUCCACAGGCCCUUAUGGUUGGCCAUGUGGCUCUAUUUUAGGCUUGGUUUUGCCCCGAGUCACUUGUAAAAGAACACACACCUGUCGUCGUGUCUCGAGCGACAUCCCUUUCGAUCAAAUCUGGUCUUGGAUACCUAAAUCGAGUCCUUCAAACAACAUUAAUUAAGAAUUAAGAAAUGUUAUCAAGGUCUAUCAAGAUUACCGUGAAUUUCGACAAGAAAUCAUUAAAAAGAUUGAUAAUGGAUGAAAAAUCAGUUUCAAGAUAAUGAUAUUAAGAAUCUUUGAAGUUCCAUUUAUAGAUAAGGUGCUUACCAAUCCUUAGCAAGAUUAGAGAUGAAAUUGAUGACGUUACGCUAAACUGAUAGAAAGGCUAGGUUGAUCGAAGAUUGUUUUCAGGUUCGAGAUGGAAAAUAAUAUUUCACAACAAUGGAGAAAAAUAUUCACAAAUGGAAUAAUGGAGAAGAAAACGGGAGAAUUAAAUAGAGAGAAAAUAAAUAAAAUUUGGUUUGGUUUGAAAAAGGAACAAGAAUACAAAUGUAAUUAGGAAAAGAUAAAUACCCAGAUGUUUCAAAAUAUGAGGGAUUAUUUGGGAAGUAACUCUUCUUGUCGAAAUUAAACAGGGGAAAUGAAAUGGGGUGGUGUUUGGCAUGACUUGAACCUUGAAAACAAGGGAUGGAAUAUAAAGGCUUAACCAUUUGGCUGCUGCUCACUCUUGAAAUGUAUUUGCUCCAUUUAAUAUAUAUUCUAGGGGAUUUUCAUUCUACUUUGCUAAAAAAUUAAAACAAAAAAAUUGGAGAGAGGUGGAUUAAACCGAGAAUCUCUAGGGAGUGUACUAAGCUCUUAACCAUUAAGACUAAGAUUCAUUUCUUAGUUAAUUAUUACUUCUAAACCUAUAUAUUUUGGGGUGUUACAAUUCUCCCCUACUUAAAGAAAUUUCAUCCUCGAAAUUUACCUAGUUCAAAUAAAUGAGGAUACAGUUGGCGGAACAUGGACUUUUGGUUCCCAUGUAGUCUCCUCCGGCCUAUGGUUCCAUCACAAUACUUUAAGAAGAGGAAUUUAUUUCCUUUUCAAAACCUUUACGUCUCAAUGAAAAAUUUGAAUUAGUUCUUCCUCAAAGCACAAAUUUGGUCUCAAUUCGAUCUCCUUAAUUGGAAUAAUAUGGGUAGGAUUGGAUCGGUACCGUCUCAACAUAAAGACAUGGAAAACGUCACGGAUUCGAUCCAGUUCAGGUGGUAGUUCUAAUUGAUAAGCAGCUGGGUUGAUUCUCAUAAGGAUUCGGUAGGGUUUUAUGAAUUUUGGACUUAACUUACCCUUUCGAUCGAACAUGAACACCUUUCACCUUAGGGACACUUUCAGGAAGACUUGAUCGCCAACACUGUAUUCAAUGUCCUUCCUCUUUAAGUCAUAUGUAAUUGCGAUGUAUGAGUCUUCAUCCUACGUAGUUCGUGUGCCAUGUGUGGGGUGAAGUCAUAUUCUUUUCGAUUUAGUCCAAUUGUUUUCGAUUCUUUAUUCGUUGUGCGUGUGUCAUGUGUAUCAUAUAAUAUUGUAUUUGAUCGAACAUAUAUUUAUAUUUAUAUUUAUAUUGUACUUGUGAUUGUAUUGUAUUUAAUAAGUUUGUGAAAUUAACAAUUUAAAAAAAUAUAUAUUUACCUAUUUCUAUUAUAAUAAUGUAUUUGAUAGAACAUAUAUUUAUACUUAUAUUUCACUCGCGAUUAUAUUGUAUUUAAUGCAUUUGUCAAAUUAACAAGGGGGCUCCAAUUUUGCCAUUCACUUUUUCGAGAUUUUAACUUUUUUUAAAUAGUUACUAAUGUCUUUUUUUUUGGUUAUAAUACUUAGAACUAUUCAUAAUCUUUGUUCAAUACAUAAGUUGGAGGAUAAUACAUUUCAGCGCACUUGAACACACGUCCUCCUGUAUGGCCUGGAGAUAGGUUGACUUGCCUCAAUAGCUAUCUGCUUGCGCAUGUAUAGCGGUCAGGUUUUCAAAGUUUGGGACUUCUAGACAUGAAAUAUGUUGGGGAGAUUUUACUAUGGGUUGAGAAAAAAUUAUAUUAGGACCAAAACUUCUAACAUUAUAUUAAUAUUACAAUUUUUAACAGUUUUAAUUAAAAAUGUUGAUAUAAACCUUUUCCUUUUGAAGGGCACAACAAGUUGCAUGAGUUUGACCAUAAGCUAUAUAGCUUUCGGUUUGUAUGUAUUCUGAUUUUUGUUUAUCAUUUUGCAUCACAACAGGUCCAUGCCCUGAGGACUGAUGCCGUACUGUACUUUGUACUGAUAGUUUAGCUUGGAGCCACAUAUCGAAAGUCCACUUUCAAUAUGGCAUCACACGGAGAUUUAAUUAUUUUUUUUACAGCAGUUGAUGAAAUCAACCACUUCUUUUAGUCAUUAAAUGCAUAAAUUGAUUAAGAGGUCGGCUUCGAUAUGGAACCUUGUCCAAUCAAACAGGAGUAUCAUAGCCUAUAAAUAGCAUAUUGAGCCGUAUGCUAAUUCACUUCAAAACAAAAAGAUCUUAAAAACAAACAAGACGUCAGCUAAUAUGAAUAUGGGCAAUGCUAAUAGGGAGGAUGCUAUUGAGGCACUCCAAGCACAAGCUCACAUUUGGAGACAUGCUUUCAACUUCGUAAGCUUCAUGUCUCUAAAAUGUGCACUUGAUUUAGGCAUCCUUGAUAUCAUUCAUGAUCAUGGCAGCCAUGACUAUUACCGAGCUGAGCUGCGCUACAGAUGCUCAACCCUACUAAGGCAUGCGACAUUUAUAGGCUCAUGCGCAUUCUAGUUCACUCGGACUUCUUUGCGCGCCAAAAGCUAGACAAUGAUGCUCAAGAAGAAGGAUAUGUUCUUACCAACUCUUCUCGUAUUUUGCUCAAGAAUAAUCCCUUCUGCGUAACGCCUACUUUGAAGGCUACAAUGGAUCCUAUUAUAACAAAGCCUUGGAGUUUUCUAGGGACCUGGUUCCAAAAUGAUUAUCAUACUCCAUUUGCUACUGCAUAUGGGAAGACAUUGUGGGGCUAUUUUACCCAUGACCCUCAGCUAAAAGAUUUGAUAAAUGAUGGCUUAGCUAGUGAUUCUCAAUUGGUUACUAGUGUUCUAGUUGACAAGUGUAAAGGGGCAUUUGAGGGAUUGAACUCCCUCGUAGAUGUUGGGGGUGGCACAGGAACUACGGCCAAGGCCAUUGCUGAUACAUUUCCACUCAUGGAGUGCACUGUGUUUGAUCUUCCUAAUAUUGUUGCUGGCUUGCAAGGGAGUAAGAACUUGAAAUAUGUUGGAGGCAACAUGUUUGAGGCAUUUCCAACAGGAGACGCAAUUUUAUUAAAGGUUAAGCUUUACUAAAUUUAUUCGCAUUAUUUUUUUCUGGUAUUUUUACUUUUAUAAAUAAUGCACAACAAAUUCCAUUACACAUGAUAAUAUUCAAAGAUUUGAAGGCAAAGGUAAUCAUAGUUUGUGGGUUGGCUAAUGUUUUAUGUUUUUUGAGCUAAUUAUGAAUGAUAAUUGAACAGAAGGUAUUGCACGAUUGGAAUGAUGAAGGAUGCUUGACAAUUUUGAAGCGAUGUAAAGAGGCCAUUUCAAGCCAAGACACGGUAGGAAGAAAGUUGAUCAUAAUUGACAUGGUUGCGAGGGAGAAUAAGCAAGUGAAUGAUGAAGCCUCAAGCUUAACUAAAACACAACUCUUUUUCGACAUGUUGAUGUUGGUAUUGGUGGCUGGAAAAGAGAGGCGGGAAGAAGAAUGGGCUAAACUAUUUUUAGCAGCUGGUUUUAGUUCUUUCAAAAUUACUCCUAUUGUGGGUUUGACAUCUCUCAUUGAGGUUUACCCCUGAGAGCAUUUGGUUAUUGCAUUAUGAGUAUAAUAAGAAUUGCUCUUUGUUGACAUCAUUUACUAGAGUUGUUUGCUGGGAUUUUAACUUUGUUGCCUAUUCCUAUAAUAAGAAUUGUUGUCGUUUUGUUGUCAUGGUCCUACUCUUAUAGACUUGUCUUGUUGUUAUAACUCUUAAGGUUUAUACUUGGUUGUUUUGUCCGUAAUUUGUUUUACUUCAGUCCAUGCACAUAUAAUUCUAAUUUUAAUAGUUUGGUGGUCUUGUUGUUGAUUGUUGAUCAGAUUAGCGCAACGGAAACAUGAUAUUAGAUUUUUAUUAAAUAUUCCAUGAUUAAUUGUGUGGUGUGAUUGGUCGGUUACUGUGUUUGUGGUGGUUUGAAAUGGAUUGUCAGUUUGGUGACUAAUGUGACGUUCCAAGUUCGGGUCAGACCGUUCCUGCCGAUUUUUUCACGGAUGAAUACUUAUGCAGAACUGGGCACCAUUAAAUUCAUACUCAGACAUUGUAACACCCCUCACCCAGCCCGGCCUCUAGACCUGAGUUACAUGACACUACAACAUUAUUGUAACUUUACCACUUGCACACACAGCUUCAAGCAAGAACAAUUUUUAUUUGUUGAAGCAUUUUCAGAGGUGAUUGCGACUAGACAAACAUUAUACGACAUUCGAAAUAGUUUAAAUACAUGCUUAGGGACCAUAUUGAAAAUUUCCAAAAAAAAUAAUGUAGGUAUUGAUACACAAUAGUAGGUAUCAAUAUUUUGGGAAGCCAGGUAUCGAUACUAAUAAGAAAAUUAAUACCAUUCCAACAUUCUGUUUUUUCAACUCAAUUUUGAAUCAAAAUGUUUUAUCUUUAUAUAAACAAAGGUGCCAGUAUUUUUACCUCGACUAUCGAUACUUGUAAAAAAGUAUCGAUACCAAAUUCAGUUACUGUUUUCCUACACAUACAUUUUAAGAUCAAGGUAUUGAUAUUUAUGCCCCGAGUAUCGAUACCCCUAUGCAAAUCAACCAAAUCACAACCACAAUAGAGAAGUAUUCAUGCUAAAACAAAAUAUCUUCCUCACACGCAUUACCCACCACAAUCUCACACAUCGGAAUACCCAGAAAUGAAGUCCAAAACCGUAAAAGAAUGAAUAAAACUAUAAUAGUAAACAACAGAAGUUCUAGAAGUCCAAAAUCACAAUAAACUAACAAAUCAAUAAUAAUAACUAGCCAAGAUUCUACCCAUAUUGCUUUUAUUCCAAAAGUCCAUAAGAAUAAUAUAAUCACCUAAUGAACAAGGAUUUAGUAAGGGUGUAAGCUUAAACAAGCUCAAUGAAUGUAUCAGAAUUUACCACAAGCAUGCAUUUCUGUAACACCCUAUACCUAGCUUGGUGACCAAGCCCAAAUAUGUAAAAGUUUAUUCUAAAUGAAGCGUCUUCCAUUUUAGUAUUCGUAUAGGUUUUAAGUCAAUUAACUUGUUCGUUAUCAAUGUUACAUGCUAACCAUACACCAAAUAGCCUUAUAAUAAUAAUUAAACAUGCAUAAGGUCCAUUUAACAAAAUUUCCAAAACUUGUUCAUAGGUAUCGAUACUAACACUUGGGUAUCGACAUUUUCUUUAGGUGGUAUCGAUGCCAUUUGGAAAAAUGAUACCAAACUUGCAUUUUGUUUCUCGAAUAAAAUCCCAAAGUCUCAAAAAUUAUCGGUACUUGUCAUGAAAUUUCGAUAUUUUGAUCCUGAGUAUCAAUACUAGAGCAAAGGUAUCGAUACUAACUCUCUAAUCUAACUUCCUACAUGUUUCAAAUCAUAGAGGUAUUGAUUUUUAAUCUAGACUAUCAAUACCCCUGCUCUAGACCUAAAAAAUGUAGCAUACAUAUGCAAAAAAUGUAGCAUACCCAAAAAUCGGGGGUUAGUAGAAUCAGGUUUAUGAAUCGAGAGAGAGUGGUCAUGCCUUAACUUUUGAGAUUAUCUAUGUAUUUUUUUAGGAAAUAAAUGAGGUAUUGGUUUAUUGGAUAAGUGUUAGUGAAACCUUCCUUGAAACCCAAGUUCAAAUCCCUUCUCUUUCACUUUUUUUUAUUAUUUUGCAAAUUUUCUCUUAAACCCUAGUAUGUGACAUGCCUUUUUUUUCAAAUAAACAUUGCAAAGUUAUUUCAAGAAUGAAGAAGAAGCCUAAUGGUUAAAAGAAAUAUAAGAAAGCAUGGAAAUUAUAUGAGGUCUCAAGUUUGAAUCCCUUCCCUUACGAAAUAUUUAAUUUUUGGCAAAAAUCCCUUGUUUUUAAUGUGUGUGCCACCCAAGCCUUGUAACCCUAGGUAUAAAUUUUAAUUUUUAGAAAUAAUCAGCCUUUAAUCCCCCUCCUCAUUUCCCUCGUCGUUCAUCUCCUCCUCUCCCUUUCAUUGAUUUUAUUUUUUUCCUUUCCUCCAUUAAUGUCGUCACCUACACCUUACAUUUUAUCAUCUCUUUCUUUUUCUUUUUGCGUCAAGAUUGGGCACCGUCUUCUUUAUUAAAUUGCUUCCAUUUAUCCUCAUCUAAAUCAGCCCAAAAUCUAAAAUCUUAAACCCUAAGAAUGAUCCCGAAUAUUUCUAAGAAAGUGUCAUUGCCGUUUCUUUCAACUAGCUUAGGUAAGAUCUCUUUUCUCUUCAAUUUCUUGAUUAAUAUUGUCAAUUAAAAAACCAAAUUUACAGAUUUAGAAUUUAGGGGAUUUUAAAUUCUUUUAAAGGUAUUUUUCUAUAUUUUAAUGAGAUCUCAAACCGUUUUAAAAUUCAGCCCCAAUUUUGGCCACCAUAAGUGGUGGUGCGUCCACCUAUGUGCAAGAAAGGGGGCUGUUUUGUUUCUUGGGUCUUGCCCAUAUUUUUCCAGCAUUAAAUUGUGUUCUUCAAACCUCCUAAUUAGCCUUUAAUCACAUGCUUAUUAUGGAGAGACGUUCUUGAUGAAUUAGCCAAUCGGAUCCCACAAAUCAUGAAGUGUAAGGGCAAUUAAGGAUAACUAGUUUGUUAUUUCGACAUAGUUGUUGGGUAAAGGUUAUGAAUUGAUUAAAUGAAGGAAUUUAAUCAUCAAUUAUCUAAUUGUUUUCCAGUAUAUUAUUGAAUUAGGUGCUGACCAAAAAUCCCCAAAUCAUUCCUAAAGCCGAAGAACGAUUGUACGUACAGUUCGCAUCGCUACAGUGUAAGGAAUCUAACUAGUUCAGAUCCAUAAAAUAGUUAUAAUUUCAAUGAUUGGUUUGAACUCAUAAGUGGGUGUUUUUGGUAUGGUUUAAUGGUAAAUUUAUUGAAUUUAUACUGAAUUUCAGUUUAGGUUCGUUUAAGGAAUUAUUAAGGAAAAUCGAAAGAUUCGCUAGUGUGCUGCGAGAAAGCGAAAAAUAAGGUGUGGGUCCUAAAAUCAUAAAAUUUUUUGAAAAUGUUAAAUAUCAAGUUAUAUUUGAUAAAUUAGCUUGCUUAUUGGAUUGGAUUAAUAGCCAAAUUAUUAAUUUUUUGAGUGGCCGAACCAGGUAUGUCUUGAGCAUUAAAAGAUUAAUAUGUUGGCAAAAUUGCUAGUUUGAUAGUAUGAAUAUUUGAUUGAGUUUGUAAUUGCAUAUUUGAGUUAUGAGAUAUGAGAAUGUUUGACUGAAUGAUAUAAUGUGUUGAGAUUUUAAGCUUAUUUAUGAUUUAAAUGCAUGAGAUAUUUGUUAUAUUGUGUACUAAAAUCGGUGGUAUUCAUGCACAAUGAAAAUUCGUAAAGUAUGUGAAAUUGAACGAUAUUGAUUGAUACCAACGCAAUGGUAAUUUGAAUGAAUAGAACACUGUUUCCAUUUAUUGAAAGUAUGUGAUUAUUGAGGACAUGUUGAGCAUGUCAAAUGAAUGGGAAAAGUAAUGAGAUAUGAUUGCGUGUGAGACUGUGUAACAUUGCAUAUGCAUUAGGUUGGGAUUUUGCUGUUGACAAAGGAGUUCCGUGGAGUACCGCCGACAUAUUAAGUCCGCAUGAUUCGUAGUCAGUCCAUUGUACCUGGAGUACCGAAAGGAAUGGCAAUUUAUCACAUUUUUACUGGCAACUUGUCUGCAUUUUUACUGGAAGAAUUUUCUACAUAUUAUUAUUGGUAGUUUUAACCAAAAUGUUUUGGAGUUUAGAUGGCGGGUUCUGGAGAACUCGUGGGGUGUAGCUGAUGGUAUGGGUAGGAACCUUUUUGCAUUGCAUCAUGUGCACGACAUAUUCGAGUGUUAUUGAUUUAUGCUACGUAUUGUAUUUUGUUGUAUUGAAAGGUAUUGUAAUUAAUGAUUGUUACUCGAAUGAAUGAUAACCUAUGCUCAUACACCGUUUGACAUCAAUUUGAUAAUGGCUAUGUAAUGAUAUGAAAUUCCUAUGAUGGUUUUGUUUUCUUCUCUUAGAGCUAACCUAUUUCACUCUAUUUGAUAUUUAUAUUUGUUUAAAUAAUUGUUCGACUCACACUAAGCUUUUCAUAAGCUCACCCCCAAUAUAGCCUAGCCAUUUCAGUGGCUAAUAUAGUUUAGCCAUUUUGGUGGCUAAUGUAGCCUUCUCAAUCUACCCAUAAUGUCUAGGCCAAGUUUGGGAACAAUCCAUUUCAAUUUAGUUUCUAAACAUCAUUAUUCUAAAACAUAGACAAUUAAUUAUCCAACAACUAAAUUCAACAGUUCAAAAAACGUGUCCGAGCUAGAAGUACCAUGCCAUCAUCGAUGUUUAUAAACCUAAGCAUAACCAUAACUCUUAAACCUUAUAAACAAAAGCAAUAACCAACAAAAUAUUUAGAAAUUAACAUGUCAAUGACCAAGACUACCACAUUUCCCUUUCCCGAAAACGUAAUUAAAUAAAGAACACCUACAAAAUAACACAAAACUGGCUCGGUUCACCUUUUGAAAACCACACCAUUCACGCUAGCACACAACUAAUCUGCAAUGGGUAAAGAAGGGAGUGACUGAGAUUAACAAACUCAAUGAAUGACUAGAAUAACCACAUCGCACACAUAUCAUUAUGCAUCCUCAAGACAACCAUAUAUAAGCACAAUUACAAUAGUCCUAUAUCUAGUGUAGUAGAGUACCUAUCCAUGCAUUAUCAACUGGUUCAUCUACACAAUAUUUACAUACUCAUACAACAUAUAUCAUGUAACGCACAUAUUUAGUCAAGCGUAUAUCACAAUUCACACAAGUCACAUAUAACGAAAAGUUAGCAAUAUAGCACAUACUCCAUUAAGCAUAAAACAUGUUCCAUACAAUUACAUAUAAUAUGAUAGAUUGACACUUGAGUUACAAAAGAUAUAAUGAGCUCUAUCAUCAUAGAUUGGAUAGACGGAUCUCUGAUCACACCAAAUGACUCGUAGAGUCAGACAUGUCCCAAAAGUGAAGCAUAUAACUAGCACUCUCCUUGUUUCCCCCCACAUGUCCCGUUGCAUAGACCUUAACUCACAUCCCCUUAUCCCUCGAAACAUGUCACAGGGCCUCAACGCUUAAAAUCACUAUACAUAUAAGUGAGUACUCACAAUCUUAUGGCAUGCCAACCAUAUCCAAUUGUAACAGUCUGUUUUCAGUGGUGUCGAAAAUAGUCAUUUCGAGACAAUAAUUUUGAUGAGUGAUUUAUUUAUUUUAAUAUUUAUUUAAUGUCUACAGGAUUAUAUUAAGGUCAUAUUAAUAUUUCGUUAAGAAAUUUUGUUGUUUAAGUAGUUAAUUAAGUAAAAAGGACUAAAUCGUGAAAGUUGUAAAAGUUUAUUUCUAUUAGUUAAAAGGGUCAAAUGGCUAUGAAAUUUUAAAAUAAUGGACUAAGAUAGUAAUUAUAUCAUUUAAUGAGUUAGUGUAUGUAUAUGGACAAGGUUUUAUUAAAAAUUUGUAUUAUUAUUAAGCGUAAAAAGGUAAAUUAGUAAACAAACUUAAAAUAAACUAAGAAAAAGAUAUCAUCUUCCCCAUUUCUUUUUUGCUUUGGCUGAAUACACCAUUGAAGGGGGGAGAGCUUCGGUUUUGAAUUCUUCAUUUCAUGGUAUGAUUUUGUACCCGAUUUUUAUUAAUUUUUAUGUUUUUGAGUUCAUUUUAGCUUAAUCUAGCUAGCCUGGGGGUUAAUUUGCAAAAAUGUUAAAGGUUGAAGGACUUUCCAUGGAUGUUUUUAAAUAGGUUUUGAAGUUAUUUGAUAGAUUAUUCAUUUUGGUUGUGAAAUAAACAUGUUUUGUUAAGUGAUUUUUGGUGAAAUUGCAAUUAGGGAUUAAAUUGUUAAAGUGUAAAUCUAUGGGCUUUAUUGGAAAUUGUUAAAUAUGAACCAUGGAAUAAAUUGAAUACUAGAAGUACUUAAUUGAAUAAAAUUUUUAUUUAUAUCAAGAUAAACCACAAUCGGACGUAAAUCGAGAAAAAGCUGAAGAUUCGCAUUAGUUCGACUCUACUACUAUGACCAUAGUUAUCGAGGUAAGUUCGUAUGAACUAUAAUCGUUUUAAUGUUAGCUAAAUUGAUUAUAUGCUAUGUUGUUUUAAUAUAAAUGAAUUUGAAUAUAAGUGUAUCAAUGCUAUGAUGAAUUGACGGAUAACGAGUCACGUUUGAACCUUAAGAAUUCUUAGGAUACAAAUGACAUGUCAUUUGGGAUUUGAUGUUUCGAGUGCUAGUCUUGAAUGUCCUACUGAUGACUAAGGUCUUGCAUUUGUUGUAGAUUCUCCAUAGCUCAUGUGAGCAGCAUCGUGUAGCUUACAGUCUAACCCUUAGCUCGUGUGAGCAGGCCAAUUUCACGGCUCGUAUGAGUAUUGAUGUAAAGGAAAGUUUAUGGUUAUAUGGAAAAACACACUAUGUGUGAGCAUUCUUGGGUAUCCGAUGUAAUUCUAGAUGGUUCAACAGGUAAAAAAAGGAAAUGAAAUGGUAAGUAUGCAAAUGGAAUAAAUCAUGAUCUUAUGAAAAGGUUGAUGAAUUAAAUGAUGUAUUUGUAUAUGGAAAUCAACUUAUCUUAUGGUUGAAUUCAUUUGUAUCACGGAUAAGUGCACUAACUUGUGAGUUUGAUGAUGUUGUAUAGGCUUAUACUAAGCUUAUGGCAUUGGUAAUGAUUUAUGCUUAAUCUAUGAAUUGUAUUAAUGAAAUGGUAAGUUAUGUUUAAGUUUAUACGAUCUUACUAAGCACUCGUUGCUUACGUAGUUAUUUUCCUUUCUUUUAUAGAUAUUCGGAAACUUAAUUGAUUGGAAGCUCGUCGGAGACCUAUCACACUAUCCAGCAACCAUUUCGGUAGUUUUUGAGUAUUUUGGCCAAGGUUAAAAAUGGCACGUAUAGGAUCUUUUGUGAUGGUAGUCUGUGAAUGUGUUAAUGAUGAUUUGGUUUGUUUAUGCUUUGAAGUUUAUGUUUGGUUUGGUGAACCUUAACACCUCACUGAGUUAUGUCAUUUUGGUCACUUUUAAGUGCUUGUAUAUGAGGUCAUUUUGGUAUGUUUGUGAUGACUUGUAAAUGGUCAUUGUGGUAUCAUGAGGUAGAUAAUUGAACUAGGUUUUUAUGCUUGAAAUAUGACAAUGUUGACUUAUUUUGGUAAAUGAUGUUUUGGUAUAAUUGUGGUGCCUUUGAAUGACAUAUUGGUUAGAUGAAUUAAGGUGUUUGAAAUGGCAUGUUUAUAUGUGUUUGAAUGAUGUUUAAAUCCCUUGAUUAUGUGUCCAAUUGGUAUGAAUGGUUAGGUAUGAAUUGGACUUAAAAUGGUUUGAUUUUAGGUUAAUUAUGAAAAUUCUUAGUGUUUCAAUUCAGUGAGUUACACGGCCUGGCACACGACUGUGUGUGGCAACUCAGAGAGUUACACAGCUUGCGACACGGCCGUGUGACCCUACUUAGUGAGUUACAUGGGUGAGGACACAAGAUGGGACACGGCCGUGUGCCCCUUUGUUCGAUUGUUACACAACCUAUCACACGACCGAUUGACCCCCAUUUUUUCCAAUUGUUUCAACUUUUUCUUAAAAAUUCUGUUUUGUUUCAAUUUAGUCUCGAAUUACUUUUAAGCUAUUUUUAGUGCCUCGAAAGAUCGAUUUAGGGACAAAAUUCAUAUGAUUGAUUGGUUUAUAAUAAGUUUAAUUUCUUUAAUGUUAUGAUGAUAAAUGUUUUUCGAUUGACUGGUAAUGCUCUGUAAUGCUAAUUCGGUGACGGGUACGAGUUAGGGGUGUUACAACAAUGGUUUCAAAAUCACAAGGCCAAAAUAUCCGAAAUCAAACACAUAACACUGAUCGAUUAUCUGUGCACUAUCACUACAUGUUAGCAUCUUUUAGAAAAUACUAUCACUUUCAUAUAAUGUGUAUAUCAUGUAUACAUUUGCACUUUUCACAACAAAUACCAUAUCCACAUAUCACAUACUUGAGCUUCUCAACACCAUGCACAAUUUCAUAAUCAUAUAAGCACAAAUCCAUAAAAAAAAUAUAGAUACAAGAAAAUUUACGCUCAGAAUUUAGAAUAGGGGUACAGGCUACUACUAAAUUCUCCAAUAACACCUGACUCGUGUUUGCGAGCAGUGAUUCCAAACACUCACCCCUAUGCUUUCACCGAGAAGUCAAAAGCUCAACUAGCUCUUCCUUUAACCUGUAGAAGGCUCCAAUGAAUCCGAGGCUUAACACACAAUAACCAUACAAAAUUCACAACCAGAUUGUAGCCAAGGACUCACUUAAACCAACUAAAACAUCAACCUAUUCUAAGUUCUCGUGUAACCAAAAUUUAACAUAAAAAAACUUAGAAUGCUCAUAACUCGGUCUACACUUAACCUUUUUGCCUAAAAUGAAUUAUGUUCAUCUAAUUAGUCAUCUACUCCAAAUCCUUAACUCUUAAACCACUAAAAACUACUCAAUUCAUGGUAUCAUAACUUUUAGACAUUUUUUUGGCAAUUUUCACAAAAUUCAUUAAAAAGUAAGAAAUCAUCAACGAAACUUGAAAGUGAGUUUAAAAACCUUCUAAUCAUGAUAAAAUGAGUUGAAAAACACUUCAAAACCACAUUUUUACUCAAAACUCAAAAAUCCACCAUUAAUGUCCCAAAUUUUGGGUUUUAUUAAAAAUUUGCAGUUUAAUGGCUAAUACUUCAAUUUUAAAGACUAGAUAUCAUGAAAAACUCAUAAGAAUUCGAAACAUUAUCUUUGAUGGAUGAAAAUCAAACUUUUGACGCAAACUUAAGAAAACCCACGUUUGGAGAAGAUGAUGAAAUCUACAGAGUUUUUGGUGUUUUUUAAGUGAUUUUAUAAGUGUUUAAGGCUUGGGUGUUGAGGGAAAUCAAAAGCUUAUAGUUUGGAAAUCAAAAUCAAGUGGUUUAGUGUUGGAAGAGCAAGGGACGACAACAAGGGAAAGGUGAAGAAGAAACUAACAUGAUUUUACUAUUGGGGAAGGAAAUAGGCUGAAAUUUUAAAAUCUGUGCUAAUUGCCUCUUAAAAACUCCCAGCUUUUCCCUUUUUUUCAAAUCAGUCCCUUGGUCCAAAUUGAAAGACUUUUAAAACUUAUUUUCAAAAAUUUAUUUAGCAGCUAAGAUGCCAUAGUUGAAUAUAAUUCUGAUUUACCACGCUAUGAAAUUUCGAGCACUCUAAGGUUGAAAUCCCUAAAACACCCCUAAAACUCCUAGGCCCUAUUUUGGGGUGUUACAAUUUCAACAUAGGUUAGAUCAUGAACAUUUUCAAAAACAUUCAUAACAAUAUAUUUACUAUAACCAUGUUUCAUUCACUAAAUCAAACUAUCUACUAUUUCUCAUAAACCUACAUACAACAUAUAUAUAAACAUAAAAUCAUUCACGAUAAGUUGGCCAUUUAAGACUAUGAAACCUAAAAGUGGGCUCUACCACCACACAUCAGAUACAUGAAUCUCCAAUGAAUUAUCGACUCAAAGAGUCCAAAAUAUUCCAUAAGUGAAGCAUCAAGCUAUCACUCUCCAACACACCAACAUAUCCUGGUAAAUGGAGCUUAGCUCAUAUGCCCUUAUUUCUCCAAUCCAUCCUGGGCCUCAAUGCCCCAAAUCACAACACAAGGAUGAGCACUCACAAAUUCUUUGUUAUUGAUCAACAAAUAUGCAACAUUAUCGCUAUCACAUAGUAUGCUUAUCAUACUCACAAUUGAUGUACUUACAAGUACAACCACAAUGCUUCAUGAGCCACAAUAUCAUUAGAUCACAUAACACAUACUAAAAUAAUUCACAUAUUACUUACGCUUUUGUUAUAUCAAUUAUCACAACUCACUACACGUAUUCAUCACAAUUAUAAAAAGAAACAAAUGGGAUAAGAAGGCUUACUUUUGAAACUUAUGAUAGGGGUUUAGGCUACUCCUAAGCUCUCGUUUAACACUAUGAAUCAUGCCUACAAGCAGUGAUUCCAAAACACUCAUCGUUCACAUUUUCACUUGAAAAUCGCAAGCUCAAACUAGUUUUUUCUCACCUUUCGCCUUACUCGAAGAGGGCCCCAACAGUUCCAAAGCUUCACAUAUAUAACCACACAACAUAUACAAGCAAUUAGUAGCCAAAACACAUCUUAAAUCAAACAAAAAUGCAGGUCCAAAACUAGCCUUUUUAAAAAAUGGAAUUUUCUACUAGAUUGGCUAAAACUCAAAUAGGGUUUGUCCUAUUUUGGUUACUCUAAAUUUUUUUCUCAAUUUAGCCACUCUAAAUACAAUAAUUGUGCGACUUAGUUACUAACUGCCUCUCGAUGUACCAACACUAGAGGUGUGAAUACUACUACUAAGGAUAGGAAUCAAGGCAGUGUCCACAAGUAUAUGGGUCAAGUUGUAAUAUAGUUUACAACGAAGUAUGGAAGUAUCCGAGGAUCGUAACCUAGGGAGGUGAAACUAAACUAAUAUUAAUUUCUACGUUGAUGGGUCUAGUUAGUAAUUAAAUUAUAUUAUAUUACAAUAUAUCCUAAGGUGAUGAGAAAAUUUCUUUUAUACAAAUAAGAUAAUUAAGAAUGGGAAUAGAGUACAGAUUCUAUCAAUUCUAAUGAUGGAAGACUAACUCGUUUCAGUGUUCAUAAUUAGCUUCUACUUAGGGUUCUACUCAAGGCCUCUCUGCCUACCACUAACCUAAUGAGUUGGCAAAAACUACUUAUCUCUCAAUGCUACAGUCCAGACUGAAUGGGGUUAAGGUUUUAAUGAAUAGAUAAUACUAAUUUUGGGUUUAUUCCCACCUAUAUGACUUCUUAGAGUCAUCAAGCCUAGGGUUUUAAGUUCUUUCUAUCCCCGACUAGCUGAUUUGCUAAGAAUCUCUAAAUAGAAGUUAAUGAGUCCCACAUCCACUCGUUAAUCUUCCUUACUGGAUUAGUUCCCCAUGGAUUUAACACAUGCAAAUAAAUUGAUAGUAAAAUAUAAACAUUAUAAAAGAAAUCAAGAGUAGAGAUGAGAAAAAUCCUGAUAAUUCAAUAACAGAAGCACGAACUAAUGAAAAACUUAAUGAAAAACUAAACUGAAUACAAAGCAAAAUAAAAACUAUUCAUGAAGUGUUUAGAUUAGAGGUGAUCAUGGCCGCCCGGCCCGAUGGCCUGCCCGAAAUAUGAAAGGGUUCUUGUAAAAAUAUAGGCCUGAAAUAUAGGUUUGGGCAAAAAAAUAAGCCCGUUUAGAAAACGAGCAGGGCCUCGGGCAAAAAUAUAUAUAUUUUUAAAAAUAAAUUUCUCAUUUCCCCUCCCUAUUUCCCAUUUCCUUAAGCCCGUAAAAAUCGCUAAGCCCUUCCUUCCUCCUUUUUUUUUUUUAUUUUAAAAUUUUUUAUUUUUAUAUUUCAAAUUUUAAAAUUGAAUUUUAAUUAUUAGUAUUGUUAAAUUUGUUGAUAUGAUAUUUCACGGGAAGGGUUCUACUCUAAAAUAAAAAUAAAAAUUCUUUUUUUUAACUCUUUAUAAUUUAUAAAAUUUUAAAAUAGUAAUGGUAAAAUUACACUUUGCCCCUCAAAUGAUAAAAAACGUUAAUUUAAUCUUUUAAAAAUUAUAAAAAUGGUAAAAUUAUUUUUUCUAUCAUAAAAAAAGGGUCUAGCCGGGCUAGGCUCGGGCUUAGUAUUUUUUUCCUCAGGCCGGGCCUAGACAAAAUUUCAGGCCCAUAGCCUAGGAAGCGGGCUGAAUUUUUUUUGGGCCCGGCCCAUGAUCACCUAUAGUUUAGAUCCUUCUAUUUAUAGGCCUAGGGUUGGUCAUCAAUUGUUGACCUAAUUCGGCUGACGUUUUGCAUUGAAGUUUGUUGUGCAAACACCCUUGGUUAAUUAAUUCAUCAUGUCAUGUCGGUGUCGUGACACCCUCUGGUCUAUGUCGCGACACUAAUGGUAGUUUACUAGCUGGGGCUUGAUUUUAGGACUAUGUCGCGACACUCUCUUUCUACAUUGCAAAAGCUUACGAAAUUGAUGAAAAACUUGGUACUCCAAUUAAAGAACAUAUGCUUUUGCUUAUGAAGCUUUGCGUAAGUGAAGGACAAUGGGCUGGUUUAGAUCAUAACACUUAGACAAAUAUGGUGCUCAAAUAUCUAAUAUUAUUAUUUUUAUUAUAUUAUUAAAAAUUCCACGAGUCAACUAAGGGUAUUUUUUUAACAGUGAUAAUGGUAUGGGCCCAUAAUGGUUACCGGAUUUGACAAAAAAAAUGUAUCUAACUAAAAGAAUUGUUAUAGUUUGAGGGUUGUGUAUUGAACUAAGCUUUUUUUAUAGUAGUGAUAUAAAUAUCCUUUUCUUGUCUACCAUUUAAUUACGCCAUGAACAUCAGCAAAAAUGUCUGCGGUUGACUAACACCGUUGUUUGUUUUUGUUUUUUUUAAAUAAUUAGAGAUUUUAGCUUAGUAGGUGUAAGCAACAAUUAUUUGUCCAUUUAAUAUUAUAUUUUGGCGUGAUUAAAACGGAUCAUUUGUUAAUAUGAACGCAAAUGUGUCAUUAUCAUUAUUUGUCCAUUUAAUGUUAUAUUUUGGCGUGAUUAAACGGGAUCAUAUUAUUGAAUAUAUCCUAAUAAGUAAUCUAAUCUAGAUACUGAAAAUCUAAUAAUCUUCGUUAAUUAUAUUAUGGUAAAUUCUGCAUCAAUAUUCACCUUCUUUUCUCUUGUUAAUUUUAAAUUUCUUGAAUGAUAAGAAUUUUUAUUUGUGGAGUUCAUUAAUAAAUAUUUUUAUAUAAUUGAUGAAUAUUUUAUAUUUGAAAUUUAUUCAAUAUCAUUUAUUUAAUAUUUGUAAAUAUUUAUAUGUAUUAAAUUCUUUUUUAAAAUAUCAAUAAAUUUGAAAUGAUAUAUCGAAAUAGAUAGGUACCGUUAUGUGCCAGUUCUAGUAGAAAAAUGGUGUGCCCACCGGUGUUGUAAGCUCCCCGACCCGACCUAGAUGCUAGAUCGAAUCUAGAAGACAACAUCAGCCAUCGAGAUGGCUUACCAGGGUUAUCUAAGUUUAGAAAGCAACCAUUUUAAAACCUUCGUUUAAUUUAGUAGAAAAAUUCAAUUACAAACCGUUUUAUUAUUCCUCAAAAUCUUAAUUUUAAUUUACUAACAAAAGAAAUGAUAUCUAUUGGUUUUAAGGAAAACCGGGGGUUCAUGCAUACAAAUUAAUAAUUAUAGCAUAAUAUCUUAAAAUUUUAAAUAAAAUGUCAUGCAAAAUAAAAUCUCAAAUCUAAAGCCUAGGUUCCAUGCCAUAGUUCGAAAUAAAGUAGUACAAACUAUAAUAAUAGGAUAACCCAAAUAAUAAGUCUAAAUAAAUUGAAAUUUUGAACCCGAGCCGAGAUGCUCCGGUUGCCACGUCUGCGUUCCUAACCUUGUGGGUUAUCUUUAAGGAUGAAAAUUUAAGGGGGGGAGUGAGCUCUAAUGCUUAGUGUGAGUUCAAUCACAAGAAAAUUAGUGCAACAGUUAGUAAGAUACAUUAGAUAAUAUCGCAUAAAAUAUUCACAAUCAGAGAACAAUUCAAAGUAUCGAUUUUUCAAAGCAAAACCACCAUUAAUAUAUCAGAACUCACAAUAGUAGUUUUCAGAAUAACCAAAUUUUCAUAUUUACCCACAAUGAACAUAUAUAGACACAUAUAUAUAAUAAUAGAUUUUCCAGAUUUGUAUGCACAUGUGUUUAAAAUGCCAUGUAGUUUUGGUUUUUAACAAAAUAGAUCCUACCUCACCACUACACACUAUAAUGGGAGUUAACUAGAACUCCCUUCUCCAACACAAUGGGAUAUGGAUAAACCACUAUUGGUUCGCAGAUAAUAACUUCCAUUUGCCUGUGGACACAUAGAAAGUCCCCGUAGUUGGAAUCUGCCUAUAGUAGUGGGUUCACAGCAAAAAGUCCUACAGAUGAAACCUGCUUUUUGGCUAUAGUUUAUACAACAUAAACCUGCAGCUAGAAUCUGCCUUUGCCUAUGGAUACACAGCAAUACCCGUAGAUGGAAUUUGCCUUUGGUUGUGGAUGCACACAAAACAGAUGAAUGCAGAUAAACUGCCAAACUUCUUCAUAUCAAAUCAUCUAAACCCAAGCAAUGCAAUGCGGCAUAUUUAAUAUAGAUCAAGCAUGAUAGCAAUUAAUGUACUAAUACAUGACAAAUCAGUAGCAAAAUCAUGCAUUUCAUGUAUUCGGAUUAAUAGUAACAUAGGUCAUGUCGUUCAUACGAUCACAAGUAUAGAUACAGUAUUAACAUAUACUAUUCGUAAUUUAUGCAAAUAUACAUAUACAAAUAAACACCGCAUUAAUUUGAUCAAUCAUGGUUUCUAACAUAUUUCAUAUCCUCAAGGACCCGAUUGCAUAAUUUCAAACACUAAAAAUAGUUUAGAACUUAUUCAGGGAUUCAUCUGAUCAAAACAUAAAAUUCUGGGUCAAAACAGUAAAAUCUUAGUUACAGGGUACAGACGACUGUGUUAUCGGAUCAUGUCGGAAGCCUUGGGCCGUGUGGAUAGAAUGUACAACCGUGUGGCUAGGCCGUGUGGGUCAUGCAAAAUUAAGCUUAAGGGGUGACACGGUUGUGUGGGAGGCCAUGUAGAGGGUCCUAGGCCAUGGGAAAGUCGAACAUCCUAGGGUUUCAAGGGGGCAUGGCCGCGUAUGGGGGAUGUGUGGUCCACAGGCCCCUAUGGUUGGCCAUGUGGCUCUAUUCGUGGGUUAUGGAGAUUUUUUAGGUUUUGGAUAAUCGGCAAUUCAAGCCUUUCAUAGUUUUGCAACAUAAAUAAGUAGGUUUUAUAUGUUUUUUCACCAGGAUGCAAAUGAUUUACUUGUCAUUUGCUCCAAAUUGAAUUAAAAUUAGAAUUAUAUGUGCAUGGACUGAAGUAAAAUAAAUUACAAAAUCACCAAACCAUGAAAAACUUGAAUUGCCAAUUACCAAAAACCUAAAAACCUGCACACCCGACGUUGUUGGUGAACUUGGCAGCAACUUUCCCUCCCAGGCUUUUCUUUAUAAAAAUCAAACAGGUUUUUUCAGGCCACAUCACCAAAAAAAAAAUUGCUUCUAUAGUGGAUUUUUUGUUCUAUAUAAAUUUAAAAAUAUAUUUUUUAAAACUUCAUACAAGUGCCACCUAAUGAUUGGCAUAUGAUUGGGUGAGAUUUAAUAUGGUGUCUUCUAACAGUUUGGCGGCACCCAAUGACACAAUAAAAAACAUUCCAUUUUUGAAAAUAAUCUAGAUCCUAUAUCAUUUUCAUAAUUACUUUUUUUAUAUUAUUUUGAUAAAAAGUCUGAUUAUUUUGUGGAUCUAAAUGAGCUAUUCUAGCUAUCUUUUUGUCAUGCAGCUUUGACAAGAGAAAUAAAAAAGCCAUAACGUUCCCCAUUUUGAACCACCUCCGACCACAACAAACUAGAAAACACAACUACCUUGCCAUGAACAUAAUCACCCAAACAUAAACAUGAUAUAUAUUCCUUUUGUUCCCAUCUUUAUAAGAAAUUAGAACCUUUAAUAUUGUAACACCCUAUACCCAGUCCGGUCGCCGGACCCGAGCUAUAGAAUGUCACAUUAACCACAUAAGUGACUCUCCAUUUAAACACAACUUAACCUCCAACAAACCAUAAGUUAAAACAUAAAACAUGUUUACAUUUAAUAAAUCACAAGCUCAUGAACUCGCAUCGCUUGCUUCAUGGUACACAAUAGUAGUAACAUGCGAACCUACAUCGCUUGUAUGAACUUAACUACUCUUUCCCUGAAGACAUAAUUAUUUGAUGAAAGGAAUUAAGAACAUGCGAACUCUAAGUUUUGCGGAGCAAUAUACCUCGCAGAACACAGCAAUGCAACUGUCUAACGUCGGAGUUCGCACCCAUGCUUACCUCAUGCAUUCUAAGUCUUCUUUGGGGUAAGUUUCCUUAAAUAGGAUAGGUCUUUGCGUACCCUUAUGUGUUUAUAUUCUGCGAACAUGUUUAGCAGGGUCUCUCCUAAUUCCGUGUAGCAAAAUUUAUUAAGGGUUCGCAAGUACUAGUUUGCCAAUUGUUCGGGUUCACACUUUCCACAAUUCGAUAACCUUAUCACUUCGUAAAGACUGUGGCGAACUCUAUAUAGGUUACUCAAGUUGAUUUAUUACAUGUUUUGCUUAUGGCAAACACAGUUAAAGAUUAAAUACUUAAGCAUUUACUUGCAAAUUAAAAAAAUAUUAGUAAAUCUUUGAAGUAUAUUCGUAUACUUAAAAAUUUAGGUGUGCAUAUAUAGUUUUAUCGGUUUCUAAGAGAUAUUGAAUACAAAUAUAAAACAAAACUAAGACUUAGAGCAAUUGGUGAAGUCUAUAGAUAGAAAGAAAUCACUAAGCCUAAGCGAAAACCCACAUUUGCCUUUAUGUCCAGAGUUCGCUUAUAUCACAUUGCCAAUGUUUAUACUCUGUCUGGAUCACUCGCCGUCGCCGCUACACACUGUGCGAUCUAACUGUCUUCAAUGUUUAGAGAGGAAUGUGUAAACUCUUGUGAACUCAAUGAAUAUACAAGAAAACCACAUAGCAUGCACAAAAACAUAAGUUAAACAAGUGUUUAAACAAAGUUACGGAUCUAUGAACCGAGUUCACCAUAUUUACAUGAAGCUUGGUUCGCAGCUAUCUUCUGUUAGUUAGCUUAAAACAGUAAAACAUAAUAUUUUGAAAAACACAAUCUUAUUCACAUGUUCUUUUCUGUUGGAUAAGUGGAUCUCCUUAUAACUCCUCACUUUGACUCAAAGAGUCUUAAUAUGUCCCAUAAGUGUAGCAUAAAGCUUAGCACUCUCCAAACACACCAACAUAUCCCAUUGAAUGGAGCUUAGCUUGACAUUCCCUUAUUUCCCCUACCCUAUCCCAAGGCCUCUCGCCCAAAACGUAAAACACAAAGAUGAGUACUCACAUUCCUAUGGCAUGUCAUUAUAUCUAACGGUUUCAGAAGAUUAUAGUUUCAAUACAUUCACUUAAACAUAGAGCUCAGAAAUCAAGAGGAGCUCAUAGAACACUAUUCAUAAUUAGCUUGCAUAUUACUGUUCACAAAAACACAUAUUUAAACUCAAUCACAAAAUAGAGUUUUAGCAAAGACUUACUCUCAAAACUUAGGAUAAAUCCCUAAGCUCCUAAUUAACUCUAUGGUUUGCACAUACAAGUGGUAACCCCUGAACACUCACCAAUUUGCUGAAAGCUUUUAAACAAGAUUCGCUUUUCCCUUGUCUUUGCUUGUAGAUAGUUCUAUCAAGUUCGCAAUUCCACAACAAAGACAAGUUACUAACAGGCAAAACACAUUAAGACUUAUACAUAAACACAAGUGAACCUAGGUUCGGACAUAUUAGUCUUUUGGCGAACCUAGUUUCCUUUGCUGCGACCUUUUCUUAAUUAUUUCUAAAUAUUAACACAACAGAGAAACAUAGUCUUACCUUAAAUCCUAAGAGCUAAGUUCUAAGUUCUUGUUUUUGUGGAAACUUGACAACAAGAUAAUCGAUAAAGGAAUUUGAGAGAGUUUUGUCAUUCAAAAGAAUAUGAAUUUUUCAAUGAAAAGAGCUUAAUUUACAGACACUAGGUGUUUUGAUGUUCUUAGGAUGCCCUAGUCGUAGUAGAAGUAGAAAAGAGUUACAUGCAUGAGUGGUGUUGUGAAGGGGAAAAUAAGUCAACUUUCUAAUUUUGGCGUAACUGCCCUUUGGCUACUCCUAAUUUUAAUCAUCGAUCCAAUCCAUUGAUCAUAGCUCACCUGAUUCACUGGCAUCCACAACUCGCUAGUCCCACUGGUGACCCCAACUCGCCUGGCUCAAACUUCAAGUGUCACAUCCCGAAAACCAGGUUAGGAGAAUCGGGUAAGUAAAUCAGGGGUUAGUGAAUCAAAAACCUUAAUUAUAUUAUAUAAAUAAAAAAUUAGGAGUUAAUUAAAUAAAAUAUUAGAAUAAUUGGAAUUUAUAAUUUUAGGUUAGGAAAUUAAAAUUAGGUGUCUGGGAAUUAAUUUGAUGAAGAAGGAUUUAAAAAAACAAAGAGGUUUGAUUUAAAAAUAAUUUUGAAAUUGGUUUUAAUUGAAAAGUAAGGACCUAUUUGAAAAAGGGAAGAAACUGGAGGUGGUUAAAUGGGCAAUGGCCCAAUUUUUAAAAAUGGGUUGCCUAUUUAACAACCCCACGUCUCCUUCCCUCGCAUUCUUCAUCUUCUUCAAAAAUUUUCCAACCACCAAAUCAAAGCUUUUUUCCCCAAUUUAGGUCAUCCUUUUUUAUGCUUAAGCUCUCUAAACAUAAAACCUCAUUUCAAUUUUGAAGAGUACUCAUGUUUUCAACCUCAAUUUCUCUAAAGUUCUUUACACGUUCAAAGCUCGAAUCAGCUCCAUAGCUCAUCAAUUUUGCAAAAUUGAGGUGAGAUUCUAACUUUUUAUGAUUAAACUAAGUGGGUUGUUAUUUAUAUUUAAGAUUUAAAUGAUUUAAUCAAUAUUUCAAUAUAUCAAUUUAUUUUUAGUUGAUUUUUGGAUUAAAAAUGGUAGAUAUCGUAUUUCUUGGCUAAGCUUUGGCUUUAAAGUGAUUUCUAGCUCAUUUUGAUAUAAUUAAAAGGUAUUUUAUCUUAAUUUAAAAAAUCCUUAAUGAAUUUAAGCAAAUUGAAUGUAAGCUUAUUUUUUGAAAAAAAUUAGAUCAGUAAAAUUGGAUGAAAUUGAUGGUUUGGAUAUGUAAUUAGAUGAUAUUUAGGAAUAUUAGAAUCAAAAUUAAGGCUUAGAGAUCAAGUUUGAGUGGUAAAACACCUAUUUCGGUAAAACCAGUUAAACUUUCGGUAUGAGAAAAGUGAGCUUCGAAUGGUGAUUUUGCUACUGGUUUUUUUAGUUUAAGGCUGAUAAUUAUGAUUUUAUAUUGUAUUUAAUGUGUAUGCAAUGUUUCAGAUUCAUCGAGAGAUUUCACGAGCAAUGUGAAAGGGUAAUAAAAGUUUGUUUGACAUUGUUUUGCAAGAUGUAUUGACUAAGGUGAGUGGUUUGGUAUACUACAUUGAAACUCUAGUACACAGGCUAAGGUAGCAUAUGCAAAUCCUCUGCUUAAUUAAUAUGUGAACCUUGACUUCUUCAUUAUGCAAAUCCUUAUAAUUUUGGUUAAAUUGUUGAGUAUAUAUACUAUGUGAUUUUAAUGGUGCAAAAUGCAUGAACUUAUAAUAUAUAUACAUUGACUUUAUUUUGUAUACAAUAUAUAUUAGGUGUUAUAUAUAUAAUAUCAACGAGGGAGCUGGUAAUAUAUAUAUAUAUGCGUGAGAUUGGAGUCAUAUAUAAUAUAUAUGAGUGCUUUGGUGCUAAGUAAUAUAUAUGCAUCUUAUAUAUAUUAUAUAUAUGUGUUGGUUGUAAUAUAAAUAUAUACACGUGGGUGGUUAUACAUAUAUUAUAUAUGUGCAUGACUUUAUCUUAUAUAAUAUAUAUGCAUGUCUUUAUUUUACCUAAUAUAUAUUAAUGGAUUUUGGUAUUAUAAUAUAAUAUAAUAUAAUAUAAUAUAAUAUAAUAUAUACGCAUGGUUCAAUAUAUAUAAUUACGAGAAUGGUUUUUAUAAUAUAUAAAUUUAUGAGUGUAUGUUUAAAAUUUGAAGUGGCAAAGGUCAUUAAAUAAAUAUGUAUAUAUAUAAUAUAUAUUCCUAUAUGAUUUUGUAAUAUGUAUGAACGGAUAUAUGAAUAAAUAAUAUAAUGUGGACUCUUAUAAUAUGCAAAUUUUAUCAAUAAUGUAUAUCUAUGCAUGCACAAAUCCGUAAGUGAAUUAUGAUAUUUAUGAUAUUGCGAGCCAAUUAUAUUUGUGUAUUGUGUUAUAUUGUGAACCAUGUUAACCUGACGAAUUAUAUUAUUAUAACGAACUGUGUUAAUUUGGUAAUCUGUAUUAAUAUGGCAAACUGCAUUAAUUUGUCAAAAUGUGUAUUGGGAGAUUUUGAGCUACAUUGCAUGCAAGCUAAGGUAUUGUGUGCCCUAUGCUAAAUAAAAUAUGCGAAAAAUGAUUUAUGUGUGCUAAAUCAUGAGUGAUAUGUGAACUGUGUUAUAUGUGCAAUAUAUGUUGCAUAAAAGUGACAUUAUUUGCGAACCAUGGUCUAUUGCGAAUUGUGACUUGCACACUAUGUUAUAAUGUGCGAGCUCUACUUAACUGCGAGCCCUAUUAUACUGAAUAUUUUGAAUAUGUUAAAGAGAUAUUUUGAAAUUGUGACCUUAUGGAACCAUUGUAUAUAGUUGGCAUGCUAUAGGAUUGUGAGCACUCACCCUUUUUUAUUGCGAUGGACAUUGUGGCUUGGAGAUGUGUGGGAGAGAUAAAGGAAUGUCGAGCAUGGCUCCAUUCACUUUAGAUAGCGUGGUGUGAUUGGAGAGUGUGAGCAUACGUGCUACACUUACAUGGAGUUAGCUUACAACUUUAUGAGUCAUGUGGUGUGUUUCGGACAUCCGUUUAUCCAAUGUGUGGUGAUAAAGUCCACUUAUAGGUGGUGACAAAGUCCCCUAUAAGUUUCAUAAUCAAAAAAAUGCAAAAUUUAUCAGUAUUUUAGAUAUAUGAGUUAUGAUGGAGCAUGAACUUUUAUUUCGCAUGAAGUGUUAUUCGAUAUGAACUGAUAUUUCAUAUGAACUAUUAUUUUGCAUGAGUUGUCGUUUGGUAAGAACUGUUAUUUCAUAUGAACAGAUGUUUGGUGCGAAUUGAUAGUUUAUGUGAUUUCUCCAUUUUGUGCGAAUUACUUAUUAUUUGUGCACUGCUUAUUGUAUGAGAAUUGUUGUGUUGUGUAAGUUACUAUUUUGUGUAAACUGCAAUAAUAUGUGAACUGUUAUUGUUUGUCACCUUUUAACCUAAUUGAUGUGUUUAUUUGUAGUAUGUUUGAGCACUCAUUGAGCUUUCAUAAGCUCACCCACUCUUUUAUAAUAUUGCAGUAACUUACCUUGUGAAGAGGUGUGGGAGUGAGUCAUCCAAGUGAUUCAAAUCGAGGCUAUAUCUAGGAACAUCAUUAUGUUCCCAAGCCUAAUGAGGAAGGCAAUGUGGGACUAAGUUAUGGGAUUUAGUAUUAGACUUAUAAUUUUCGGGUUGUAAUGGGACACUGUGAACUAUUUAAUUGUUUGGUUUAAAACUUUUAUCAUUGCGUUAGAUAGAUGAUUGAAUGAUGGAUUAUGAUUGUUUGAUAAUUUGUUUGAAUAAUUCUUAGACUAACUUGUAAGUGCAGGUUGAAGAGUUGUUGGUCAUCGAGGUAAGCCUUAGAUGUUUUAUGUGUGAUUUAGAUACAAACAUGUGCUUGGUAUGCAUGAGAUGUAACACAAAAUUUGGUCAAGUUAUGUAAACUGUUAAAUGUCUACUAACUAAUUAAUUUAUAAUGUUAUGAGGUUGUGCGAGAUGCUUUAAUAAAUUUUCCAAAAAUAAGACUUAUACGUUAAAUCCUACAAUCCUAUUACUAAAAUUUGUGAAAUGGAAUCUUUCCCAACAUAUUACUAUUCAUUACGUUUUAAAUCUAGUUAUAUGUUUUUAAACUAAACAGUUUUUUUCCAAGUCCCUACAAAUACAAUAUUUUAAAAAUAUUGUACUGCAUGAAUGUAUGUUUAACUAAAGUUUUCUAGGUAAUUGUCUAUUAAGUAUUAAAUUGUGAAUUAGUCUUGUUGUUGAUUGUUGAUCAGAGCAACACAACGGAAGCAUGAUAUUAGGUUUUUAUUAAAUAUUUCAUGAUUAAUUGUGUGGUGUGAUUGGUCGAUUGGUGUGCAUUGUGGUGGUUUUAAAUGGAGAGUCACUUCUGCGACUAAUGUGACAUUUGAAAUUUGGGUCGGACCGUUCCGGCUGAGUUUGGGGCACCACAUCAAAGCCCUAUUUUGAGAUGUUACAAACAUGUUUGUCAAAGCAGCUACGAAAGAAAUAUAUCUCACUUGGCAUUGCAAAAUGUAAAUCAAAAGAUCCACUUGUCAUUGCCACUUGUCAAGACAUUUGUUGCAAACAAAAAAAAAAUUAUAGGAGUAAAAUUUAAAUUUCAAAAGACUACAUGAACCUUUUCAUGUUUAAAUGAAAAGCAAAUAACCUAAUCAUUAAUUCAUACUUCCACUUUUUUGCUUUUGUUUCUUGAUCAUCAAAAAUCAUGAUUGUUUAAACCAGAUUAGAUCGACUUAUUAGACUAGGAAUCGACUAGCACAUCGAUCCAAAAAUCGAUUAUUAGACCGCCAACUACGAACUAGAUAAACUGAUAAAGAUCGAUCCAACCGAUUGUUAUGGUUUUGAGACCAAAUUUCAUCUAUCCCAAAUCGAACAAAAAGAAAACCAACUAGCCACCUACCCCUAAAAAAUUUAACACCCAGCCUUAAAAUCAAUAUAAUUUUUUUAAAAAAGAACCCCUAAUCUAACUAUUGUAUUACUAAAACCUAUUAUAAGCACGGUGUGAAAUAGAUUAACUGAACAGCUAGAAGCUUUCUACGUACUUUUUAGAGUGGUUUAAAAUAAAUAAGAAAAAUAAAAAGAAGAUGAUGAGAGAAAACACAAUAUUCUUUAUAGUUUUAGAUUUUGGAAAAAUAAGUAAGUAAUAAAGCUCUUGACUUCAUCAUUGGUAAAAAAAAAAGUCAAUAAAUUUUGGAAUGACAAAAAGUGUAAAGUAUGAUAUUGAGUCAAAGGGUCAACGUACCUUACUAGUGAUAUCCAUAAGCAUUAUAAGCUUUGUGCUCCUUACUUGAGGUUGCUCGGGCAGGCGCCUAGAUCUAAUAGUUUUGAGCAUAGGCUUUGCUAUGCAAAUUCAAGGCUUCAAAAUUCCUUCUUCAUUUUGUGCUAACUACUUGAGUUGAAGAGGAAGCCAGUAGAAACUUCAAAAAUACAAGAGAUGGAAAGGGUGCUUUGUGGAAGACCAUUUGUGCUUUGUUUAAGGCCUAUCCUAUCAUGUGUAUGGGCAAUUAGCCUUUGUUGGGCUUGGUUGUUUGGGUCUGAGUUUGAUUUGAGUUUAUUUCUUUAGGUAUGAGAUUGUAGCAUAUUGGAUAUUAAUAAAUUUAUUAAAAAAACCAUGAGGAGAGGAAUUUUCCCUCCAUUUUUAAAAUUUUUCUUUUACAAUUUUCAAACAGUAUUUUAUGCUGGUGUUAAGGUUGAUGUUGAGAUUUUUUUUUUUUUUGUUAAUAUUUUCCAUUUUUGACCAUCCACUACAGAAAGCCACCCACCAAGCCCAGGCAAGUACCGACCGUGGCUUUUGGUCCAAGAUUAGAUAGACGAUAUGGCGAAGGGGGCAGGAGAUUAAAUUGAAAUUUCCAUUUAUUUUUUUCUUUCUAAUUUUUUUAAUAUUUUUGACUUAUAUAUAUUUAUAUAUUUUUAUUUUUUAGCGAUAAAUCCCAAACUAUACGUGAACUAUGGUUUAAUGUGCAAUUGUAUAAAUUGUCAGAUAAUUACAUCAUCAUUAUCACCCAUAAAAAGAGCAAAUUAAUUUUUUCUGUUAAAAAUUUCAUCCAUUUAUACGGUUAAAAACUGGUGGUUGACAGAAUAACUGUAUAGUGACAUAUGAUGUGCCAUGUGUACCUUAUGUUGAUGUACGUCGACUAAUUUUUAACUAUAGAAAUAGAUUAAAUUUUUAAUAGAAGGACCAGUUUGCUAUUUGAUCUAACAUACAAAGACCAAUUUUGCUUUUUUUUUUAAGUAGAGAAGAUAACAUGUAAUCUAAGUCCUAAUACAAUAAAUUUCAUGAUAAUUUUACCCGACUAUCAUACGUGAGAGUAGUGAAUCUAUAGCAUAUAUUUAAAAAAAAAAAUCCCCUAUAGGGUGAAUGCUUGAAACAUGUUAACUUAAACUAUAAGUUUUUUUAAAGAUUUUAGUUUAUAAAUUUUAAUGCAAUUAUGAGUUUAUAAGAAUAUUUUAUAUUUAUUUUUAAGUUUGUUUUUUUUAAAUGAGUAUAUGGUUUAUUUGUAUAAUUUUGAGAUUUUUUUUAGUUUUCUUUAAAUGAGUAUAUUUUUUAGUCUUUUUAGUUUUUUUAAAGCUUAUCACAUACGCUUUGUUAACGAUAGCAGAAUACUGUUGUAUGCGGCUUAUUGGGCUUAUUAUUUUGAAAACUGAACCGUUUUCUUGAAUCUUUUUCUUUAAAAUGACGCUCACUUAACCCUAAACUAUUCACUAGUUAUUUUUACUCAGAAAGUUCACGAGAUACCACCAGCAAGAAGAGGAGUUAUCGUUUAUAGGUAAAUGUCUUUGGACUUUCAACUGUUAUUUCUAUUAUCUUCUACCAUGGUUAGGGUUAAAAAUGGUUUGGGUGGUCGGGGUGGUGGCUACUCUGGUCGUGGUUGUAAUGCCCUCAACCCGACUCGAUUUGCUGGCUCCGAAUAUCACACGUUACUACACCAAUUAUUAACAAAUUUUACAAAACAAUAUAAUAUUACUCAUUUCCUUAAGUAUUCUAUUUAUUAUUUUAACUGAAUAAUUAACGUUUUAAUACAGGAGAAAUGUUUCGAAAUAACUAGUUACAAUAGAGUUGACAUGAAACAUUACAAAAUAGAAGUUUAUUAAUGACAUAUACAGAUGGUGUAGUCCUAGACUAUGCCACUUUUAUGCCACUUUUCCGUUGUAUGCAUAAUAGCCCAUACCGCCAACACCUUCGCAUACUCUUGACAUCGUCUCUCCUGGCGCAAACUCGUUCCAAACCUGAAAAUAAUAACAAACAUUGUAAGUCCAAGAGUACUUAGUGAGCUUUGUUACAGAAACACCAUGAUAGGCACUUUGCAUUCUUGUAUGAAUUAUAGCCUGCAAACCAUUCUUCUAAACGAAUAUUUUGGGUAGAUAUCACUUCAGUUUCAACAUACCCUUAUAAGCCAACUAUCAUGCUCUUAUUAUACUCAUAUCUUCCUUAUUUAAUUAACUAACGGUCCUUCCUAACAUUUCUUAAGCUUCUAAAGCACACAUAUAAUUCUCAUUAGAACAUAUCCUCGGAGUUCACUUUUAACGAUCCAUGCCUUAACACAUACACUUAACUCAAAACAGUUAUUCAUAGACAUUUUUCACGGAUGAAUACUUAUGCAGAACUGGAUACCACUAAAUUCACACUCAACCAUUGUAACACCCCUCACCCAGCAUGGCCGCCAGACCCGAGUUACAUGAGACUACAACAUUAUCGUAACUUUACCACAUACACACACAGCUUCAAGCAAGAACAAUUUUUAUUAUUUUAAGCAUUUUCAGAGGUGAUUGCGAUUAGACAAACAUUAUACAACAUUCGAAAUAGUUUAAAUACAUGCUUAGGGACCAUAUAGCAAAUUUCCAAAAAAUAAUGUAGGUAUCGAUACACAAUAGUAGGUAUCAAUAUUUUGGGAAGUCGGGUAUCGAUACUAAUAAGAAAAUCAAUAACAUUCCAGCAUUUUAUUUUUUCAACUCAAGUUUAAAUCAAAAUGUUUUAUCGAUACAUAAACAAAGGUAUCAGUAUUUUUACCUCGAGUAUCGAUACUCGUAAAAAAAGUAUCGAUACCAAAUUCAGUUACUGUUUUCCUGCACAUACAUUUGAAGAUCUAGGUAUUGAUAUUUAUGCCUCGAGUAUCGAUACCCCUAUGCAAAUCAACCAAAUCACAACCACAAUAGAGAAGUAUUCAUGCUAAAAAAAAUAUCUUCCUCACACGCAUUACCCACCACAAUCUCAUGCAUCGAAAUACCUACAAAUGAAGUCCAAAAGCGUAAAAGAAUGAAUAAAACUAUAACAGUAAACAACCAGAGUUCUAGAAGUCCAAAAUCAUAAUAAACCAACAAAACAAUAAUAAUAACUAGCAAAGAUUCUACCCACAUUGCCUUUAUUCCAAAAGUCCAUAAGAACAAUAUAAUCAACUACUCAAGUUAGUAUUGCCUAGCUUAGAUCACUUCCUUGGUUGCACCGCUCACACCAAAAACACUACUAACCUACAAGGAUUUAGUAAGGGUGUGAGCUUAAACAAGCUCAGUGAAUGUAUUAGAAUUUACCACAAGCAUGCAUUUCUGUAACACCCUAAACCGGGCUUGGUCACCAAGCCAAAAUACGGGAUGUCACACCACCGUCUCAUGUCAUAUACAAUAAGUAAAAGUUUAUUCUAAACGAAGCGUCUUCCAUUUUAGUAUUCGUAUAGGUUUUAAGUCAAUUAACUUGUUAGUUAUCAAUGUUACAUGCUAACCAUACACCAAAUAGUCUUAUAAUAAUAAUUAACCAUGCAUAAGGUCCAUGUAACAAAAUUUCUAAAACUUGUUCGUAGGUAUCGAUACUAACACUUGGGUAUCGAUAUUUUCUCUAGGUGGUAUCGAUACCACUUGGAAAAAUGAUACCAAACUUGCAUUUUGUUUCUCGACUAAAAUCCCAAAGUCUCAAAAAUUAUCGGUACUUGUCAUGAAAUUUUGAUUUUUGACCUUGAGCAUCAAUACUCAAGCAAAGGUAUCGAUACCAAAUCUCUAAUCUAACUUUCUGCAUGUUUCAAAACAUAGAGGUAUUGAUUUUUAAGCUCGACUAUCGAUACCCCUACUCUAGACCUUAAUAAUGUAGCAUACACAAUCAAAUAAUGUAACAUCCCAAAAAUCGGGGGUUAGUAGAAUCAGGUUUGUGAAUCGAGAGAGAGUGGUCAUGCCUUAACUUUUGAGAUUAUCUAUGUAUUUUUUUAGGAAAUAAAUGAGGUAUUGGUUUAUUGGAUAAGUGUUAGUGAAACCUUCCUUGAAACCCAAGUUCAAAUCCCUUCUCUCUCACCAUUUUUAUUAUUUUACAAAUUUUGCCUUAAACCCUAGUAUGUGACAUGCCUUGUUUUUAAAAUAAAUAUUGCAAAGUUAUUUCCAGAAUGAGGAAGAAGCCUAAUGUUGAAAAGAAAUAUGAGAAAGCAUGGAAAUGAAAUGAGGUCCCAAGUUCAAAUUCCUUUCCUUAUGAAAUAAUUUAAUUUUUGGUAGAAAUCCCUUGUUUUUAAUGGGUGUGCCACCCAAGCCUUGUAAACCUAGGUCUAAAUGUUAAUUUUUCAGAAAUAAUCAUCUUUAAUCCUCUUGCUCAUUGCCCUAACCGUUCAUCUCCUCCUCUCCCUCUCAUUGAUUUUUUUUCCUUUCCUCCAUUAAUGUCGUCACCUACAACUCACAUUUUAUCAUCUUUUUUUUUUCUUUUUGCAUCAAGAUUGGGCACCAUCUUCUUUAUUAUAUUGCUUCCAUUUAUCAUCCCAAAAUCUAAAAUCUUGAACCCCAAGAGCGACCCCGAAUAUUUCCAAGAAAGUGUCAUUGUCAUUUCUCUCAACUAGCUUGGAUAAGAUAUCUUUUCUCUUCAAUUUAUUGAUUAAUAUUGUCAAUUAAAAGCCAAAAUUUCCAGAUCUAGAAUUUAGGGGAUUUAAAAAUUUUUUAAUGGUAUUUUCUAAAUUUUAAUGAUAUCUCAAACCGUUUUAAAAUUUAGCCCCAAUUUUAGCCACCAUUGGUGGUGGUGCCUGGGGUUGUUUUGUUUCUUAGGUCUUGCCCAUAUUUUUCCAGCAUUAAAUUUUGUUCUUUAAUCCUCCUAAUCAGCCUUUAAUCACAUGUUUAUUAUGGAGAUAUGUUCUUGAUGAAUUAACCAAUCGGAUCCCACAAAUAUUGAAGUGUAAGUGAUAUCAAGGAUAACUAGUUUGUUAUUUCGACAUAGUUGUUGGGUAAAGGUUAUGAAUUGAUUAAAUGAAGAAAUUUAAUCAUUAAUUAGCUACUUAUUUUCCAGUAUAUUAUUGAAUUAAGUGUUGAGCCAAACGCCUCAAAUUAUUCGUAAACCGAAGAACGAUUGUACGUACGGUUCGCAUCGAUACAAUGUAAGGAAUUUAACUAGUUUGGAUUCAUAAAAUAGUUAUAAUUUCAACGAUUGGUUUGAACUCAUAAGUGGGUGUUUGGGGGAUGGUUUAAUGGUAAAUUGAUUGAAUUUAUACUGAAUUUCAGUUUAGGUUCGUUUAAGGAAUUGUUAAGGAAAAUUGGAAGAUUCGCUAGUGUACUGCGAGAAAGCGAAAAAUAAGGUGUGGGUCCUAAACUCAUAAAAUUGUUUGAAAAUGUUAAAUAUCAAAUUAUAUUUGAUAAAUUAGCUUGCUGAUUGGAUUGAAUUAACAGCCAAAUUAUUGGUUCACUAGUCAAUGCAUUGCACCUGGAGUACCGAGGGGAAUGGCAAUUUUUUCGCAUUUUUACUGGCAACUUGGCUGCAUUUUUACUGGCAGAAUUUUCCGUAUAUAGUUAUUGGUCGUUUUAACCAUAAUGGGCUUAAGCCCAUAAUGUUUUGGAGUUCGGAUGACGAGUUUUGGGGAACUCGUAGUGUGUAGCUGAUGGUAUGGGUAGGAACCUUUUUACAUUGUAUCAUGUGCACGACAUAUUCGAGUGUUAUUGAUUUAUGCUAUUUAUUGUAUUUUUUUAUAUUAAAUGGUAUCGUAAUUAAUUAUUGUUACUCGAAUGAAUGAUGACCAAUGCUCAUACACCAUUUGACAUCAAUUUGAUAAUGACUAUGUAAUGAUAUGAAAUUCCUAUGAUGGUUCUAUUUUCUUCUGUUAAAGCUAACCUAUUUCACUCUAUUCGAUAUUUAUGUUUGUUUAAAUAAUUGUUCGACUCACACUGAGCUUUUCAUAAGCUCACCCCCCAAUAUAGCCUAGUCAUUUCGAUGGCUAAUAUAGCUUAGCCAUUUCGGUGGCUAAUGUAGCCUUCUCAAUCUAGCCAUAAUGUCUAGGCUAGGUUUGGGAAUAACCCGUUUCAGUUUAGUUUCUAAACAUUAUGCAUCAAAAACAUAGAAAAAUAAUUAUCCAACAACUAAAUUCGACAGUUCAAAAAACAUUUCUGAGCUAGAAGCACCAUGCCAUCAUCGAUGUUUGUAAACCUAAGCAUAACCAUAACUCUUAAACCUUAUAAACAAAAGCAAUAACCAACAAAAUGUCUAGAAAAUAACAUGUCAAUAACCAAGACUACCACAUUUCCCUUUCCCCAAAAAGUAAUUAAAUAAAGAACACCUACAAAAUAACACAAAACUAGCUCAGAUCACCUCUUGAAAACCACACCACUCACACUGGCACACAACUAAUCUGCAAUGGGUAAAGAAGGGAGUGGGUGAGCUUAACAAACUCAAUGAAUGACUAGAAUAACCACAUCGCAAACAUAUCAUCACGCAUCCUCAAGACAACCAUAUAUAAGUUCAAUUACAAUAGUCAUAUAUCUAGUGUCGUAGAGUACCUAUCCAUGCAUUAUCUAUUGGUUCAUCUGCACAGUAUUUACAUACUCAUGCAACAUAUAUCAUGUAACACACAUAUUUAGUCAAGCAUAUAUCACAAUUCACACAAGUCACAUAUAGCGAAAAGUUGGCAAUAUAGCACAUACUCUAUUAAGCAUAAAACAUGUUCCACACAAUUACAUAUAAUAUGAUAGAUUGAUACUUGAGUUGCGAAACAUAUAAUGACCUCUAUCAUCACAUGUCGGAUACAUGAAUCUCCGAUCACACCAAAUGACUCGUAGAGUCAGACAUGUCCCAAAAGUGAAGUAUAUAACUAACACUCUCCUUAUUUCCCCUCACAUGUCUCAUUGUAUGGAUCUUAGCUCACAUCCCCUUAUCCCUCCAAAUAAUACUCACAAUUAAUAUACUUACAAGUACAACCACAAUGCUCCAUGAGCCACAAUAUCAUUAGAUCACAUAACACAUACUAAAAUAAUUCACAUAUUAAUUACUAUUUUUUUUAUAUCAAUUAUCACAACUCACUACACGUAUUCAUCACAAUUAAAAAAACAAAUGGGACAAGAAGGCUUAUUUUUGGAACUUAUGAUAAGGGUUUAGGCUACUCCUAAGCUCUCGUUUAACACUAUGAAUCGUGCCUACAAGCAGUGAUUCCAGAACACUCACCGUUCAUGUUUUCACUUGAAAAUCGCAAGCUCAAACUAGCUUUUUCUCACCUUUUGCCUUACUCGAAGAGGGUUCCAACAGUUCCAAAGCUUCAUAUAUAUAACCACACAACAUAUAUAAGCAAUUAGCAGCCAAAAUACAUAUUAAUUCAAACAAAAAUGCAGGUCCAAAACUAGCUCUUCUAAAAACCAGAAUUUUCUACUGGAUUGGCUAAAACUCAAAUAGGGUUUGUCCUAUUUUGAUUACUCUAAAUUUUUUCUCAAUUUAGUCGCUCUAAAUAAAAUAAUUGUGCAACUUAGUUACUAACUGCCUCCCAAGUACCAACACCAAAGGUGUGAAUACUGCUACUAAGGAUAGGAACUAAGGCGGUGUCCACAAGUAUAUGGGUUAGGUUGUAAUAUAGUUUACAACGAAGUAUGUAAGUAUUCGAGGAUUGUACCCUAGGAAGGAGAGACUAAACUAAUAUUAAUUUCUACGUUGAUGGGUCUAGUUAGUAAUUAAAUUAAAUUAUAUUACAAUAUAUCUUAAGGUCAUGAGAAAAUAUAUUUUAUAAAAAUAAGAUAAUUAAGAAUGGGAAUAGAGUGCAGAUUCUAUCAAUUCUAAUGAUAGAAGCCUAACUCAUUUUAGUGUUCAUAAUUUGCUUCUACUUAGGUUCUACUUAGGGCCUCUCUGUCUUCCACUAACCUAAUGAGUCGGCAAAAACUACUUAUCUCUCGAUGUCGCAGUCCAGAUUGGACAGGGGUAAGGUUUUAACGAAUAGGUAAUACUAAUUUUGGGUUCAUUCCCACCUAUAUGACUUCUUAAAGUCAUCAAGCCUAGGGUUUUAAGUUCUUCCUAUCCCCGACCAGCUGAUUUGCUAAGAAUCCCUAAUUAGAAGUUAAUGAAUCCCACUUCCACUCGUUAAUCUUCCUUACCGGAUUAGUUCCCCAUGGAUUUAACACAUACAAAGAAAUUGAUAAUAAAAGAUAAACAUUAUAAAAGAAAUCAAUAGUAGAUAUCAGAAAAAUCCUAAUAAUUUAUUAAUAGAAGCACGAACAAUAAUUCAUUGAAGAGUAUGACGAUAUACAAUCUGAUCCCCGUGAAAAACAAAAUAAAAGGAAAAACUAAACUAAUGAAAAACUUAAUUAAAAACUAAACUGAAUACAAAGCUAAAUAAAAAUUGUUCAUGAAGUGUUUGACCUAGGGUUAGUCAUCAAUCAUUGACCUAAUUCGGCUAACGUUUUGCAUUGAAGUUUGUUGUGCGGCUAAAAACACCCUUGGUUAAUUAAUUCCUCAUGUCAUGUCGGUGUCGCGACACCCUCUGGCCUAUGUCGCGACACUGAUGGUAGUUUACGAGCUAGGGCUUUAUUUUAGGACUGAGUCGCGACACCCUCUUGCUAUGUCACAAAAGCUUCCAAAAUUGAUGAACUCUAAGGAAAAGCUUGGUACUCCGAUUAGAGAACAUAUGUUUUUCCUUACGAAAUCUUUGCCUAAGUAGAGGACAAUGCGCUGGUUUAGAUCAUAACACUUAGACAGAGAUGGUGCUCAAAUAUCUAAUAUUAAUUUUUAUUAUAUUAUUAAAAAUUCCACUGUCAAGUAAUAAUUUGCUAAAGGGUAUUUUUUUUAACAAUGAUAAUGGUAUGGGCCCAUAAUGGUUACAGUAUUACAGUUUAAGUACUGGAUUUGACAAAAAAAUGUAUCUAACUAAAAAAAUUGGUAUAUUUUGAGGGUUGUGUAUUGAACUAAGCCUUUUUUAUAGUAGUGAUAUAAAUAUCUUUUUUUUGUAGAACGAUUAUUUUCCCUAGCCUAGUCCUAGGAAAGGUGAACACCUAGAUUAAUAGGUCACAAUUUUAAGUUUAGAAUAUAAUUAUAUUUAAUUGCAUUUCGUAUCAUAUACUCAUAUUGAUUUUUAUGACAUUUCAAGUUAACUUGUGACAUGAACUAAGCAAAAAGCUUUAAUAUAGUAUAAAUAUUAAAUAAUUGCAUAUUGGGACCCUCGUUUUAUUUAGAUUUUUGAUGUCUACGAAGCAUUAUCGUGGAUUUGCAUUCAGAGGUUAGAUAAUAUUGUGAUUGAGUCUGAUUGUCAAAGUGUGAUCAGUGCUUUAAAUCGUCCAAGUAUUGAUAUGUCAAUGGUCACAACAUCCAUAGCUAAUGGGGCAGUUAGAAGGAAAAAAAACCAUUUUGAUGCCAUAUUAGAAAUAUGAAAUAUGAGGAAAUUCGUUAAUCUGACUUAACAAAUACAAUCAGAUUUCCAAUACUUAUACACCAGAAAUGAAUCGCUAACAGAAUAAAAAAAACUACCCUUAACUAUUUAACGAACAAUGAACUGCUCUUAACUAAUUUACAUUACUUAGUUUCUACUGAUAGAAAGCACUUGUGACACUGUUAUCAAUGAUCGAUGUCUUGAUUAUUAAAAAAAUCAAAUCUUAAAUUAAUAAUUUAUUAAUACUAGAAAUUAAAAGAUCUAUUGAAUUUGACGAUUAAACGCUAUCAGGAGCGAAGCCAACAAUUCAUUAUCGGGGAGCCAAAAUAAAAUUUUGAAAAUUUGAGGGAUUAAAAUUAAAAAAAUUGUUAAAAGAAACUUAAAUUAAGUAAUUCAUAACUAAAAGAAAUUGAAAGUGAUAUUAUGCCGGUAAAGGGUUACCGUCUACCCUUUAAUUACACCAUAAACAUCAGUAAACUAUAAUAAUAGGAUAACCCAAAUAAUAAGUCUUAAUAAAUUGAAAUUUUGAAACCGAACCGAGACACUCCAGUUGCCACGUCUGCGUCCUAACCUGGUGGGUUAUCUUUAAGGAUGAAAAUUUAAGGGGGAGUGAGCUACAACUCUUAGUUUGAGUUAAUCAUAAGAAAAUUAGUACAAUAGUUAGUAAGAUGCAUUAGAUAAUAUCGCAUAAAAUAUUCACAAUCAGAUAACAAUUCAAAGUAUCAAUUUUUCAAAGCAACCGCCAUUAAUAUAUCGGAACUCACAAUAAUAGUUUUAAGAAUAACCAAAUUUUCAUAUUUACCCACAAUGAACAUAUAUAGACACACAUAUAUAAUAAUAGAUUUUCCAGAUUUGUAUGCACAUGAGUUUAAAAUGCCAUACAGUUUUGGUUUUUAACAAAAUAGAUCCUACCCCACCACGACAUACUAUAAUGGGAGUUCCCCAGAACUCCCUUCUCCAACACAACGGGAUAUGGAUAAACCACUAUUGGUUCGUAAAUAAUAACUUCCAUUUGACUUUGGACAUAUAGUAAGUCCCCGUAGUUGGAAUCCGCCUUUGGUUAUGGAUACACAGCAAUACCCGCAGAUGGAGUUUGCCUUUGGUUGUGGAUACACACAAAAUAGAUAAAUGUGGAUAAACUGCCAGACUUCUUCUGAUCACAUCGUCUCAUCCCAUGUAAUGCAAUGCGGCAUAUUUAAUAUAGAUCAAGUAUGAUAGCAAUUAAUGUACUAAUACAUGGCAAAUCAGUAGCAAAAUCAUGUUUUUCAUGUAUUCGGAUUAAUAGUAAUAGAGGUCAUUUAUGCAAAUAUUAACAUUUACUAUCAGUAAUUUAUACAAAUAUACAUAUACAAAUAAACACCGUAUUAAUUCGAUCAAUCAUGGUUUCUAACAUAUUUCAUAUCCUUAGGGACCUAAUUGCAUAAUUUCAAACACUAAAAGUAGUUCAGAACUUAUACAGGGAUUCAUAUGAUCAAAACAUAGAAUUCUGGGUCAAAACAGUAAAAUCUUAGUUUCAGGGGACACACAGCUAUAUUAUAGGAUCGUGUGGGAAGCCUUGGGCCGUGUGGAUGGAAUACAAAGCCGUGUGGCUAGGCCAUGCAGGUCAUUCAAAAUUAAGCUUCAGGGGUGACACGGUUGUGUGGGAGGCUGUGUAGGGGGUCCUAGGCCAUGUGAAAGUCGAACAUUCUUGGGUUUCAAGGGGGCAUGGCCGCGUGUGGACCACAAGCCCGUGUUGUUGGCCAUUUGGCCCUAUUUUAGGAUUGGUUUUGCCCCAAGUCACUUGUAAAAGAACACACACCUGUCACCGGUGUCUCGAGCGACGUCCCUCUCAAUCAAAUCUGGUGUUGGAUACCUAAAUCAAGUCCUUCAAACAACAUUAAUUAAGGAUUAACAAAUGUUAUCAAAAUCUAUCAAGAUUAUCGUGAAUUUCGACAAGAAAUCAUUAAAAAGAUUGAUAAUGGAUGAAAAAUUAGUUUCAAGAUAAUGAUAUUACGAAUCUUUGAAGUUCAAUUUAUAGAUAAGGCGAUUACCAAUCCUUAGCAAGAUUAGAGACGAAAUUGAUGACGUUACGCUAAACUAAUAGAAAAAUUAGGUUGAUCGAAGAUUUUUUUUAGGUUCAGGAUGGAAAAUAAUAUUUCACAACAAUGGAGAAAAAUAUUCACAAAUGGAAGAAUGGAAAAGAAAAAGGGAGAAAGAAAUAGAGAGAAAAAUAAAUAAAUUUUGGUUUAGUUUGGAAAAGGAACAAGAAUACAAAUGUUAUUAGGAAAAGAUAAAUACCCAGAGUUUUCAAAAUUUAAGGGAUUGUUUGGGUAAUUAACCCUUCUUGUCGAAAUUAAAUAGGGGAAAGAAGAUGGGGAGGUGUUUGGCAUGACUUGAACCUUGAAAACAAGGGAAGGAAUGCAAAGGCUUAACCAUUUGGCUACUGCUCACUCUUGAAAUGUAUUUGCUCCAUUAAAUAUAUAUUCUAGGGGACUUUUAUUCUACUUUGCUGAAAAAUUAAAACAAAGAAAUUGGAGAAAGGUGGAUUGAACCUAAAAUCUCUAGGGAGUAUACUAAGCUAUUAACCAUUAAGAGUAAGACUCAUUUCUUAGUUAAUUAUUACUUCUAAACCUAUAUAUUUUAGGGUGUUACAGUUCUUCCCUACUUAAAGAAAUUUCAUCCUCGAAAUUUAUCGAAUAAAUGAGGAUACUGUUGGUGGAACGUGACUUUUGGUUCCCAUGUAGCCUCCUCUAUCCUAUGGUUCCGUGACAAUACUUUCACAAGAGAAAUUUAUUUCCUUUUCAAAACCUUUACAUCUCAAUGCAGAAUUUGAAUUGGUUCUUCCUCAAAGGACAAAUCCGAUCUCAAUUCGAUCUCCUUAAUUGGAAUAUUAUGGAUAGGAUUAGAUCGGUACCGUCUCAACAUAGAGACAUGGAAAACGUCAUGGAUCCGAUCCAGUUCGGGAGGUAAUUCUAAUUGAUAAGCAGGUGGGUCGAUUCUCUUAAGAAUUCGAUAGGGUUCUAUGAAUUUCGGACUUAACUUACCCUUUCGAUCCAACAUGAACACCCUCUUGAUUUUAAGGCUUGUGUCGCAACAUUGAUGAUAGUUUAUGAGCUAGGGCUUGAUUUUAGGGCUAUGUCGUGACACUCUCUUGCUAUGUCGCAAAAGUUUACAAAAUUGAUGAACUCUAGGGAAAAGCUUGGUACUCCAAUUAAAGAACAUAUGCUUUUGCUUAUCAAAUCUUUGCAUAAGUGGAGGACAAUGGGCUGAUUUAGAUCAUAACACCUAGACAGAGAUGGUGCUCAAAUAUCUAAUAUUAUUUUUUUAUAUUAUUAAAAAUUUCACAUGUCAACUACUAAUUUGCUAAAGGGUAUUUUUUUUAGCAGAGAUAAUGGUAUGGGCCCAUAAUGGUUACAAUAUUAUAAUUUAAGUACUUGAUUUGACAAAAAAAAUGAAUCCAACUCAAAUGGUAUAGUUUGAGGGUUGUGUAUUGAACUAAGCCUUUUUUAUAGUAGUGAUAUAAAUAUCUUCUUUUUUUUUUUGUAAAACGAUUAUUUUCCCUAGCCUAGUCCUAGGAAAGGUGAACACCUAGAUCAAUAGGCCACGAUUUCAAGUUCAGUGAUAUAAGUAUCUUUAAUUGCAUUUGCUAUCAUAUACUCAUUUCGAUGUUUAUGACAUUUCAAGUUAACUUGUGACAUGAACUAAGCAAAAAAACUUUAAUAUAGUAUAAAUAUUAAAUAAUUGCAUAUUGGGACCCUCAUUUUAUUUAGAUAUUUGAUGUCUAUGAAGCGUUAUCUUGGCUUUGCGUUUAGAGGUUAGAUAAUAUUGUUAUUGAAUCUGAUUGUCAAAGUGUGAUCAAUGCUUAAAAUCUUCCAAGUAUUGAUGUGUUUGAAUUCGAUACUCUUGUUAAAGACUUCGUUCUUCUCCAUUCCUUUUUCUCUGAUUUGUCUUUCUAAUAGAUGAGAAGGGAGACUAAUAAGGUGGCUCAUAAAUUAACUAGGGUGACUUUUAUUUUAUGCUUCUUUUCAUGUUUUUGAAAUACCUAUGAAUGUUCUUUCACCUGAUCCCAAAAGAGUUGUAAACUCCAACGCUUCUGAGGAUGAGAUGCAUAGGAUUAGAUGUACGAGAUAAGCCUGUUAGACAUGGGUUUAGCUUGUCUUUUUAUUCUUUUUUUUAAUUAAUAUAAAGUGUGCUUUUACCCUAAAAUAUUAAAUAAUUAUAUAUAAAUGAUUAUAGUUAAUAAAUUUAAAAUCUAGAUAUUAAUAUUUACCAUUUUUACAUAAACUCGGACUUUUAUUUUAUUUGAAUUUUAAUAUAUAUACUAAUAAUAAAACUAUUGUAUUGAUGUUUCAAAUUUGAUGUACACCUACUCAAUUUAAUGUCGAAAAAUCAUAUUUAUAAAAUUAUAUUACUAAAUGCAAAUAGGAAAAAAGAUAGUUGAAUAAAGUUUUAGUUGUUCCUUUUUAAAUUAGACAAAACUUCUUAAGAAAUCAAACCUCUAAAAGGAUUUUUUUUUUUAACUCUUCAUAAUAUAUAUUUUUGAAAACAAUUUCUUCAAUUAAAGUGAAACAAGUUUUUUCCUUUUUGUUUUUGGUCAAAGCAUGUUUGAAGUAGAAAUCAAAACUCUUAUUUCAUACUUACAUGACUCUUUGAUCUAUUUGUUUGUAUUUUCUAGACAGGCUUUAACUACUUUUCUACAUAUAUUUUACUCAUAGUGAUCUUACGCGGCUGUUUUCAUUUUAAUGCAACAGCUCAUCAUUUUCACUAAAAAAAAUAUUUAUCAAAUAUUAUCACGUAUAUUAUUAUUUAUUUAUUGGAUAUUCUUUCCUUCUAAUCAAGGUUGACGUAAAAGAAAAGAUUGAAUACCCAAAAUCAGUAACUAAAAAGGGAAUGAGCUAAAAUAUUGUCACAUAUAUUAUUUAUUCAUUCAUUUACUUCUUUCUAUUAUAACUUAAUAUAGUAUCAAUUUUGAGUCUUGAUAUUUAGGGUCGAGUUUUAUCAUAUGUAAUUGCGAUGUAUGAGUCUUCAUCCCACGUAGUUCGUGUGCCAUGUGUGGGGUGAAGUCAUAUUCUUUUCGAUUUAGUCCAAUUGUUUCUGAUUCUUUAUCCGUUAUGCGUGUCUCAUGUGUGUCAUAUAAUAUUGUUUUUGAUCGAGCAUAUAUUUAUAUUUAUAUUUUACUUGUGAUAUUGUAUUUAGUAAGUUUGUGAGAUUAACAAUUUAAAAAAAAUUAUAUUUACCCAUUUUCUAACAUCAUAUAUAACACAUCAAUCACCAUCCAAAUCUUAAAUAACUACUCUUUGCUCUUGAUAUGGCUUGGGGCUCCCAAUUUUGCCAUUCACUUUUUCUAAGAUUUUAACUUUUUUUUAAAAUAAUUAUUGAUGACUUUUUUUUGACACAACGUUUAGAACUAUUUAUAAUCUCUUCAAUCCAUAAGUAGGAAGAUAAUGCACUUCAGCGCACUGGAACCCACGUCCUUCUUUAUUGGCAACAAUAUCCAUGCCAAUGAGUCAAUUGACAUAUUUUUAAUAUUAUAUUUUAGUGUAAUUAAAACGAGAUUGCUUAUUAAUAUUUAUGAAAAGGGAUUUUUUUUUCAAUGUUUCUUUUAUGAUUAAAAUUGUGAGAGAAUAUUGUUUAAAGAGAAAUAAAAAAAUCAAUGAGGUAGUCAUGAACUUGAGGAGCGAAAAUGGCGUGGAGAUAGGUUGGCUUGCCUCAAUAGCUAUCUGCUUGCGCAUGUAUCGUAUUAUUGAAUAUAUAUCUAAUCUAUAUGGUGGCGGUCAGGUUUUCAAAGUUUGGGACUUCUAGACAUGAAAUAUGUUGGGAAGGUUUUACUAUGGGUUGAGAAAAAAAUUAUAUUAAGACCAAAAUUUCUAACAUUAUAAUAAUAUUACAAUUUUUAACAGUUUUUAAUUAAAAAUGUUGAUAUAAACCUUUUCUUUUUGAAGCGCACAACAAGUUGCAUGAGUUUGACCAUAAGCUAUAUAGCUUUCGGUUUGUAUGUAUUCUGAUUUUUGUUUAUCAUUUUGCAUCACAGCAGAUCCAUGCCGUCAGGACUGGUGCCGUAGUGUCCUUUGUACUGAUAGUUUAGCUUGGAGCCACAUAUCGACAGUCCACUUUCCAUAUGGCAUCACAUAGAGAUUUAAUUAAUUUUUUGCAGCAGUUGAUGAAAUCAACCACUUAUUCUUUUAGUCAUUAAAUUUUAGUGCAUAAAUUGAUGAAGAGCCCGGCUCCCAAAUGGCACCUUGUCCAAUCAAACAGGCGUAUCAUAGCCUAUAAAUAGCAUAUUGAGCCGUAUGCUAAUUCACUUCAAAACAAAAAGAUCUUAAAAACAAACAAGACGUCAGCUAAGAUGAAUAUGGGCAAUGGUAAUGGGGAGGAUGCUAUUGAGGCACUCCAAGCACAAGCUCACAUUUGGAGACAUGCUUUCAACUUCGUAAGCUUCAUGUCUCUAAAAUGUGCACUUGAUUUAGGCAUCCUUGAUAUCAUUCAUGAUCAUGGCAAGCCCAUGACUAUUACCCAGCUGGUUGCUGCGCUACAGAUGCUCAACCCUACUAAAGCAUGCGACAUUUAUAGGCUCAUGCGCAUUCUAGUUCACUCGGACUUCUUUGCACGCCAAAAGCUAGACAAUGAUGCUCAAGAAGAAGGAUAUGUUCUUACCAACUCUUCUCGUAUUUUGCUCAAGAAUAAUCCCUUCUGCAUAACGCCUACUUUGAAGGCUACAAUGGAUCCUAUUAUAACAAAGCCUUGGAGUUUUCUAGGGACCUGGUUCCAAAAUGAUGAUCAUACUCCAUUUGCUACUGCAUAUGGGAAGACAUUGUGGGACUAUUUUACCCAUGAUCCUCAGCUAAAAGAUUUGAUAAAUGAUGGCUUAGCUAGUGAUUCUCAAUUGGUUACUAGUGUUCUAGUUGACAAGUGUAAAGGGGCAUUUGAGGGAUUGGACUCCCUUGUAGAUGUUGGGGGUGGCACAGGAACUACGGCCAAGGCCAUUGCUGAUACAUUUCCACUCAUGGACUGCACUGUGUUUGAUCUUCCUAAUAUUGUUGCUGGCUUGCAAGGGAGUAAGAACUUGAAAUAUGUUGGAGGCAACAUGUUUGAGGCAUUUCCAACAGGAGACGCAAUUUUAUUAAAGGUUAAGCUUUACUAAAUUUAUUCGCAUUAUUUUUUUUGGGUAUUUUUACUUUUAUAAAUAAUGCACAACAAAUUCCAUUACACAUGAUAAUAUUCAAAGAUUUGAAGGCAAAUGUAAUCAUAGUUUGUGGGUUAGCUAAUGUUUUAUGUUUUUUGAGCUAAUUAUGAAUGAUAAUUGAACAGAAGGUAUUGCACGAUUGGAAUGAUGAAGGAUGCUUGACAAUUUUGAAGCGAUGUAAAGAGGCCAUUUCAAGCCAAGACAAGGUAGGAAGAAAGUUGAUCAUAAUUGACAUGGUUGUGAGGGAGAAUGAGCAAGUGAAUGAUGAAGCCUCAAGCUUAACUAAAACACA